RNAcentral lists this long non-coding RNA (73617 nucleotides) under Medicago truncatula (barrel medic). RNAcentral's name for it is "long non-coding RNA (MTRU_LNC004399)". Lineage: Eukaryota; Viridiplantae; Streptophyta; Magnoliopsida; Fabales; Fabaceae. The record is from RNAcentral.
UGUGGAUCUUACUCGUUUGCGGGCUUGUACACAAAACAUGCAUAUUUGUUUGAUCUGAAAUUGGAAGAAAAGAUUAAAUGCUGUGGGAUUAAAUUUGAGUCUGAAAUGGACAAAACACUUUUAAAAAAUGAAUGGAUCCAUGUGGAGCUUAGGUAUAGAAUUAUUUACGAUAAGAUUAAAAUAUUAAGGAGUGCACAAAUGGGAAUCCAUGUGUUGAAGGAGAAAAGCAACACAGAUGAGGAUGUCAUAUUCACCAAUCCUUAUCGUCACUUCGACAACAAAUGGAUUGAUGGAAAUGGGGCUUUCAGAGAUUAUAGCAAUACUUCAUUAUCACAGUUUGAGCCUCCUCUGAAAAAGCAAAGAUUGGUGGAAAUGGGAGUUUCAGAGACAGAAAGUUUGCAGCAGCAGCAACAUCUAGCUUUACUGUCACAGCAACAACAAAUGGCUUUAUUACCACAGCAACAACGUAUAACUGUUUUGUCAGGCAUGUGGAAUUUGGUGCUGAAUGAAACAAAAGAAAAGGAACAACAUGACUGGAUUCCUUAGUCAAGGUACAUCAUUAUCGUUAUUAUCGUUAAGAUUAUGUGGAGGAUGCUUUGUAGAACAAACACUUCUCAUUGAAGGCAUGACUGGUAUGCAACAUGUGUCCGUGUACAACACCAACACGAUACCGCGACACAUGCGAUUACAUCUAAAUAUGUUAUUUUUUUAAAUUACUAUCGGAGUCGAUGAAUCAGUCACUAUCAAGUCCAGUGUCCAUGUCCGUGUCAGUGCUUAAUAAGGGGGAUAAUUUUUCCCUCUUGAUUUAUAGAAAUUAUAAAUAAAAACAUUUUACACAAAAAGCUUACCAAUUAUUAUUUUUUUAAUUUUCCUCCCUUUCCUGAUGGUUGAAAAUGUCGAAAUGAAGGCUUUGAAAGAGUUUGCAACUUCACAAAGUUCAACAAGUAGACUACCUUAAUUUAAAUUUUAGCAUAUAAAGUUUACAUUUGAUGUUGAAUUCUUCAUAAGUUAUUGUAUCUUGAUGUGGGAUUUUAAAUGGACCUUUUGAGUGAAAUUUAACGUCAUUGCCAUUGAAACAUGAUACAUAGUUGAUAUUCCACUAACUUAUAAGCACGCAGAAGGUUUACAGUGAUCUAAAUACUUUGCUUAUAUCGAUAUAAUUUCUUAGCUUAUAUAUAUCGGUCGUCUCUGUUGCAGCAUAAUUGUAUAUUAUGUUACUUAUCACAUCUACUUGAAUGCUUGUGCCCUGCAGAAAGGAGAAGCCAUAUCUAUCAACUUGUUGUUUAACUAUUACAUAAGGGUGCUUCAGAGACAUCAGAAGCAAUCGGGUCUAAUGAAAGGUUGGCCACUUUCACACAACAUCUAAUAAAUAGUGCCGAAUCCAAGAUGAAUGGUGUUACAAGUAAGAUCCUUAUACUUCGAAAGCAUAAAUGCUUUUAAUCAUAAUCUUUAUGAAAGAUCAUUUGAAAAAGACCGUUAAUGUAAAUGAGUAGCUUUUGUCCGACAGGUAGGGAGAUACAAACUUCAUCUUAUAGUAUAAAAUGAGGAAGUGAUGUUUUUAACAUCUUCCUUCAAUCUCCCUAUCCCCUUUUUUAAAUAACAUUCUCUCUCGCAGAGUUGAACAUGAAGAAUCCAUUCCCGAUGAUUUCAGCCUGUCGUCGGUAAUUUACGCAACUUUUCUCUAACCAAAACUAAGUAUUUUUUUGUUCUUUGACUGUACAUUGUCAGGAAACCACAUUUAGUCAUCUGGCUCUCUGCAUUGUCAUGCAAGAUGUCUAGAGGUUGCUUGCACAACAAAAUCCGUUGGCUGUUCGAAUGGGAAGUGAGUAAUGAUAUGCAUUACAUCUCAGUUGGAGUGCUUUGAGAAUUUCAAUCUUAUGUUAUGGUACUCAUGCGUUUAGCUAUAUAUAGCUUUGUAACCAUUGAUCAACUAAGCAAUAAUAAUACAUUUUUCUAGUUUGAUAAUAUGGUAUCAGAUUUUCCCUCAAGGGAAAGUUUGUUACGGUCCUUGUAACCGUUUUCCGUUGUGCCUUGUAAAUGAAGCUUUGUUGAAUCUUCAUCUUCAUCCUUCUUUUUCCGCCAUUUUUUGUUGCUCUAUUCUACAACAACUCUCGUUGAUUUUGCGAAGAAGUUUCUGAUUCUUCUUCAUUGUUGAGUUUUGUUUUCACUUAACUUGUUUUUCUCAGUUCUUUGAUUUUGCUCCUCUUCUCUGAUUUGUCUUUCGCCAUUGUUGCUACUUCAUCUUCUUCAUUUUCUUUCUCAUGGCGCGUAACAACAAUCUGACUCUGAAUCUGCGUAUUUUGUUCAUCCAAGUGAAGGUCCAAAUUCUGUUGUAGUUUCCCCCAAUUUCAAUGGUUCUAACUACCUCGCAUGGAGUCGUUCUAUGCAACGUGCUUUAGGUGCCAAGAAUAAGCUUCCUUUCAUCAAUGGAACUCUUCCCGUGCCUGAUAUUGAUGAUCUGAACCGUAACGCUUGGGAACAAUGCAAUCACCUCGUUCAUUCUUGGUUAAUUAACUUGGUUUCAGAUUCAAUUGCACAAACAAUUGUCUUUCUAGAGUUAAGUAGUUAAUAGCCUAAACACAGUAUUAAUGGUUAAUUAAUAUCAAUCUUCUCUACAGCAGCAACCAUCUACCAGGGCCUCCAGCUGCAUACCUUCCUAAAUGAAUGUUACAAGUAAGAUUCUUAUCCUUUGAAACCAUAAACGCUUUUAAUCAUAAUCUUUAUGAAAGAUCUUCUGAAAAAGAAAUUGAUGGCUAUACAAUAGUAAUAUAUUUAUAAAAGUGCAUGACUUGUCAUUUCUUAGAAAGUAUGAAGACAGUUAUAAAAAUCUGUAUCUUUUGUCCAACAGGUCAAAUUAGAUACAAAUUUCAUCUUAUAUCACACUGAAAUAGAUAAUUCAAAGAAUUAAAAAUUGCAAAAAAAAUAUAUGUUUUGGAAACAUUUAUAUGUAUGAACUUGAUGGUAUAAAGAAGGCCUUUUUCCUAUCAAAUUUUCUUUUGAUUUGUGAAUGGAAGUAGAAAAUUUCCUUUUAUCUGCUACUCCAUAUAUUUUUUCUUCCAAACUGAUACUCCAUUUCUAUUUAAAGUAUCUCAUGAAAUAAUAUUUCCUUUAUUGUUAUGAGUUGUAAAUCAUUUAAAAUGAAUUUCAUUUUUGUUUUUCUCAUUUUGACCGUAACAUUGUAGAAUUUUUUGUUUUCUACAUAAUGGUUUAUAUGACAAUUUCAAGAGUGGAUCCUCUCAUGUUGGAAUAAACAUAAGGAAGUUAUGUUUCAAAUUUAGGCUUUGUUUGCGAGUUUAAAGGGAAGGAAAGGAAAGGCUAAGGAGGGGAAGGGAAGGAAAGGGAGGGAAGGGAGAAAGAAGGGAAAACCUUCCCCUUGUUUGGGAGUUAAAAAGCCAAUAAGGAAAGGAGAUGGAGGGUUUAUUUUAUAAUUUUACUAUUUUACCCUUUUUCCUCUUAAAAUCAAUACAUUGUUAUACUUUGUAAUUUAACUUCUAAUUUAUUCAAAACAACUUAACUCAUGAAAAACAAAUUAUUACGAUCUAUUUUUAAAAAAUAACUUAUUGAAAACAACUUAUUUAUAAAAAAAAAAGCUUAUUACAAUCACUUUUUAAAAACAACUUAUUUAUACAAAACAACUUAUUACGGCAUCUUUUUAAAAAACAGCUUAUCUUAUAAAAACAAAUUAUUACGAUCUUCUUUUAAUAAACAACUUAUUUAUACAAAACAGCUUAUUAUGACCUCUUUUAAAAAAAACAACUUAUUCAAAACAGCUUAGUACGAUCUCUUUUUCAAAAAGAACUUAUCCAAAACAACUUAUGUAUACAAAACAGCUUAUUACGAUCUCUUUUCAAAAAACAAUUUGUUCAAAACAACUUAUUUAUAAAAAACAACUUAUUACAAUCUCUUUUUCAAAAACAACUUAUUCAAAACAGCUUAUUUAUGCAAAAACAGCUUAUUACGACCUCAUUUUCAAAAACUGCUUAUUCAAAACAACUUAUUUGUGUAAAACAGCUUCAUACGACCUCUAUUUCAAAAACAGCUUAUUCAAAACAGCUUAUUUAUACAAAAUAGCUUAUUACGACCUCAUUUUCAAAAACAACUUAUUUAUAGAAAACAGCUUAUUACGACCUCAUUUUCAAAAACUGCUUAUUCAAAACAACUUAUUUAUACAAAACAGCUUAUUACGAUCUCAUUUUCAAAAAAACCUUAUUCAAAACAACUUAUUUAUGCAAAACAGCUUAAUACGAUCUCUUUUUCAAAAACAACUUAUUCAAAACAGCUUAUUUAUACAAAACAACUUAUUACGACCUCAUUUUCAAAAACCGCUUAUUCAAAACAACUUAUUUAUACAACAAACAGCUUAUUACAUCCUCAUUUUCAAAAACCGCUUAUUCUAAACAACUUAUUUAUACAAAACAGCUUAUUCUAAAUAAGUUGUUUUGAAUAAGAGGUUUUUGAAAAUGAGGUUGUAAUAAGUUGUUUUGUAUAAAUAAGUUGUGUUGAAUAAGUUGUUUUUGAAAAUGAGGUCGUAAUAAGCUGUUUUGCAUAAAUAAGUAGUUUUGAAUAAGCGGUUUUUGAAAAUGAGGUCGUAAUAAGCUGUUUUGUAUAAAUUGAAUAAGCGGUUUUUGAAAAUGAGGUCGUAAUAAGCUAUUUUUUUUUAUAAAUAAGCUGUUUUUGAAAAAGAGAUCAUAUUAAGCUGUUUUACAUAAAUAAGUUGUUUUGAAUAAGCGAUUUUUAAAAAUGAGGUCGUAAUAAGUUGUUUUGUAUAUAUAAGUUGUUUUGAAUAAGCAGUUUUUGAAAAUGAGGUCGUAAUAAACUGUUUUGUAUAAAUAAGUUGUUUUGACUAAGUUAUUUUAAAAAAGAUUGUAAUAAUUUUAGUAAUGUAUAAAAUUGGAAUGUUGAAUUAUUAAGAGGGCAAAAUUGUCAAUUUGUAUGUUUAACCCCCCAAAAUCCUCCAAUUUGGGGGAACUUUAAAAUUGGAUAAAUGAAGCCGUUCAAAACCCCCCAAAACCUUUCCUUUGUUUUUUUAAAACUCGCAAACAAGGGUUUACCACUCCAUAAGCCUUUCCUUCCCUCCCCCUCCCCUCCAAAACCCAACUCGCAAACAAAGCCUUAGGCAACUUUUCUCUAACCAAAACAAAGCAUUUACUUGCUCUUGGAAUGUACAUUUUCAGGAAGCCAUCUGUAGUCAUCUGGCCACUUGCAUUGUCCUCAACAUGUCUAGAGGUUGCUCGCAGCACAGAAUCCGUUUACUUGUUCCAAAGGGCAGUGAGUAAUGCUAUGCUUCGCAGCUCAGUUAUACUGGUUGCAGAGUUUUGAGAAUUUCAAUAUUAGUACACAAAUUGGAAUCCGUAUAGAAAGAGUAAUCAGAUGAAGAUCCGAACUCGGAAGUUUCCGAGACAGAACUUGUGUAGCUGCAACAACAUUGUAUGGCUCUUGUGAUUAAUAAGGUAUUCUUGUGUAAAAACACUUUUCUCCCAAAUCUGUUUUCUGAGACAGAACUUGUGUCGCAUAAACAGCAAAUGUAUGUAUGAUUCUGACAGAUGGUUAAUGUCAAAUCUCUAUUCAAUGAUGUUAACUUCCAUUUCUCAAAUAAAGUGUUUGAUUAUUAAUUAUAACUAGACAUUGAAUAUUCUCUUAAAAAAAAAAAAAGUAUUGUAAACAUUAUAUUAUAAUAUCUUUUUAAAUAUAGUUAUAGGACAUCAUCUCAUAAUAUAUGGUACGUAACACAGUAGUUGGACAUAAACACCAUCAAUCCUACAAAACAUUUGUACCAUCAAGAAUGGUUACAAAGACUAAGCCAAAAGCCAUUAAAACGAGAAAAAACUAGGAAUUAAGACCACAUCCAAAGAGAAAAACCACUAACUGCAGCUGCUAAAAACUAAUUAGUGCGUGGUUAACAGAGCAAUCACUAGAGUUCACCCCCCACUGAACCAAAAACCAAAGUCAGGGAAUUCUAAACAAACACAGAAUGUGAAACCAGCAACUUAUUCAUAAGUAAAAAAAAACAAUAACAGCCAGCUUUACACAUGCUAAUCUUAUUGGAAGUGAGUAGGAAAUGGUAAAAGCACAUUACUUUGUAAUGAACUAUGGGAAGGUAACCAACGAAUCAGUUUCUAUUUCCUGAACUGUACAUAUUGGCUGCUGACAGAUGCAAUACAAUGUCGCAGAAGCACAAGUUUGGUUUUGGUUCUGGCGGUGAAAUCUGAAUUGGAAUGAGAUCAUAAUGGUGGAAAAUUUACUCCUGAAGCAACCUGUAUCAAAGGUUGUUAAAUGGUUUCCGGAGAGGGAAACAGAUUCUCGGUGAAAGGAUGUUAUCAAGAGUAGUGAAAUUUUGUUUUUCACGAUGAUUUCGAUGAUGAAUUAUUGGAAGAUUUCCUAUGGACAUUCCUUGACCCAAUCCCUUAAACAUUUCAUCCCGGUCAAAUCUUCGUAGUUCCGUUCACUGAUGCAGUGGUGGAAACAUCACAACACCCGACCUUCAGCUUCAGUAUCCCUGGUAUCUGCAUCCUAAUCUUUGAUCAGUGCAGAUAUCUUUCUCUGGUGGCGAUUCCCUGCUACCAAUAGAUCACAUCAGUAUGAUAUUGAUUUUCAGGUUUCCUUGUUUUUUAAACCUAUACUACAGAAUAGUUUUUUCUGUCUGUUUACUUUAUUCACAAAUGUUAGUGUCCAUGCCUAACUAUUUGUUCUAUGAUAAAGAAAGUAGUGACCGUUAUUUGAAAUAAUCUUCUUAAUAUAUUUAGCUUCUCAUUGAAUCAUUUAUUGUUUUAACAGAAGCAAAAGAACAAAAGGUUAUUUUGAACAAUAUGCAGGCACAGUCACUCUUGAUACAUUUAAGUUUGGAUAUGUAUAUAAGUAAAUUUUAAUCAAAUAUUAACAGUGAGAUGUUAUAUAUUCUGGACACUUGAUGAUUUGAUCUAUAUGAAAAACAAUUCCUUGCAAUAAUUUUUUUGUUCAUAUGCCAAACAAAACUGAAGAGAAAGGCUAUAUUAUUGAAAAUUUAGGUAUGCAGGAACAUGUGACAUCCAGAAUCCAUCAGCAUGAUAAAAAUAUUUCAAAUAGUCAUUUUCAACUGUAUUGUUGGAAGUGGUAAGAUAUUGUGAAUAUGUGAUAAGAAACUCAAAGACACAAAUAAUAUUAUGCUUGCUAGGAUUGGUGAGAGAGAGAGAGUUAGAAAGACUGCUAGGAUAAAUAUUCAAGUCCAGUGGUUGGUUCUGUGCUAGUAUAAUCAUCAAGUGCUCUGGAGAAAAUUAGAGAGAGUUACCUCUUUUCUUUGGGAUGGUGAACUUAUUUUUUAUUUUAAAUUGUGUUUUUUAGGUCAAGUAAAUGAAUUUUUAUCUCAAAUUAAAAUAUUCCUCUGAUCCUCUUAAAUUGAAAAAUUAAGUUCAUGUCAUAAACAGUUUUCCAUGGCUAUAGCUUGUAGAACAAACGAAGGCGCCACCGUCCUCCGAAGAUCCAAAAUCUUCACUCUUCCCUAUCAUCACAAACUCUUCUCUUACGUUCCUCUAUGGUUCAGCAACACGACAGCGAUGAAAAUCUCUUACCUCCGAUGAAAAGGAGAGAGAGGAGAGGAAGACAAGCAACAAGAAGAAGCGGAAGCUUGAUCGGUGUUAUGAGAGAAUUGGGUUCAAGGAAGUCGCGUGUUAGAGCUUUGGCUAGUUAUGAAGGUAUAUUGGAUGGAGCAAUUAAAAUUUGAAUUUAAGUUAAUGGUUUUGGUUAUGAUUUUAAUUAUUGCUGUUUCUGUAGUCUAUUUGGUGCUGUUAGGCCUAAUCAUGCUUUUAAUGGAAUUUUGAAUCUUAAUUAACUAUUUAUGGUUUGUUUCGAUUGACUUAAUUGAGCUUAUAAACUGAUAGAAGCACUUGUGAGACUGUUGUUUUAAAUCGACUUAUAGCUUAUUUGAAUGCAACUUAACUUAUAUGAAAAUGAUUUGACAUUAUUUUAUGUAGUGUACCAGGUCAAAAAGGUUAUGGUUGGAUGGAUUUCUCAAACUAGUCUGUCCUUACUAGUAAUUAAAGAUAUCUUUGAUCUAGAAGAAUUAAUGUGUGAUAAAGAACUAAAUCUAAGAACCGACAUUUAUGAAAUCCUUCUGCAAGAGUCGUGACCCUUUAAUUUGUUCUCUAGAAUCCGACUUAAAGAACUGCUAUUGGUCAGAUAUAAUGUGAUCUAGUGUUAGAUAUGAUGCAUUCUAAUAUAUUUUUGGAAUUUGCUGUUUUUACAUGCUUAAGUUUAGGACCAUGCUCCCGUAAAAAAAAAAAUUUACUACCAUGCUUAUAGGAUUGUGCUAUUCUUGUUGAGAAACUAGUUUUCAGCUUUAUGUGAUUUUUGAGGUCCUUUCAUAUUGAUGUUUCCCUCAAACUUUUACCUUUAUUUCCUUUCUUCUUCUUUAAGACAUUCACAUUGCUUUAUAGAAAUGACAUGGUAGGAGAAUGUAGGAAAAGUGAUGGUUACUUACUUUUACUGAAGAUAUCAAAUGGGAAGGAAGUUACCCACUUGGUGAUAGCCUCUAACCAAACAAAAUUAGAGGGCCACACAAUAUAUGUCAUUCUUGUCCAAAAUAAUUGUCUAAUUUUAUAUUUCCUUCUACAAUAUCAGGGAAGUCUUAAUGUCUCUUUUACUAUUAAACCUUUACUAUUUAUUAUUCUAUUUUUUAAAAUUCUUUUAACUUCUGUUUCUCAUAUAGUUAAUGAAGAAUGAUUUUGUAAAGUAACUCAAAAUAACUACAUUUAUUAUAGUUUUUGUGAAAUUGUAAAAUGGCUUUUAAUUUGAAGGGGUGUUUCAGUGAUAUCAUUGAGUGAUUGGGGACCACACGGAUAAUUGAAAGGAAAGCAACAUGAAACCGCGACUUCAUUCUGACGUUGACUUCAAGUCAACCUCUCUUUUUCCAACACAACAAACUAAUGGUUCUGCAAUGAGUUUCACAAAAGAAAAAGUUGAACAAUAAUUCAUCAUUUUAGCAAAAGCGACAGUAGAAAAAAAUAGGAUGUGGUACAAUAAAUGUGUGACUGGUCCACACGCAUAUAGUAAAACUGUGAAGGAUGUUUCACUAUUAAUGUUAAAAAUGGACACUCAUAAAUAACUCUUACUGCAAACUCAUUUCCUGCUUUUGGUUUUUACAGAUCCUGAUACUAAAUCAACACUCCUAACUGAAAUACUAUCGCUGCCAUUUACUCUCAUGGCUAUGCAAUUACCAUAUUCUUCCUCCUCUUUCGUCUCUAAUGAUUUCACCUACGACGUGUUCAUUAGUUUCAGGGGCACCGACACUCAAUUCGGUUUCACCGGUAACCUCUAUAAAGCUCUUUCUGACAAAGGAAUCAACACCUUCAUUGAUGACAAGGAGCUUAAAAAAGGGGAUGAAAUCACACCUUCGCUCCUCAAGAGCAUUGAAGAGUCGAGGAUUGCCAUUAUCGUUUUCUCUAAGGAAUAUGCUUCUUCUUUGUUUUGUUUGGAUGAACUUGUCCACAUCAUUCAUUGCUCCAAUGAAAAGGGUAGCAAGGUUAUUCCUGUUUUCUAUGGCACCGAACCUUCUCAUGUGCGAAAACUAAAUGACAGUUAUGGUGAAGCGCUUGCUAAGCAUGAAGAUCAGUUUCAAAAUAGCAAGGAAAACAUGGAGUGGUUGCUGAAAUGGAAGAAAGCUCUUAACCAAGCUGCUAACUUAUCUGGCCACCAUUUCAAUCUUGGGUACCCUUUUUUAUUUAUAUCUUGUUUUACCCCACCACCCUCCCCUAAAUGUUUUCUAUUUUUCUAUCAUAUAGUAAACAAUUAGGUCAUUGUUAGUUAAAACAAUUUUAAUUGCAAUAUUAUAUAUCAAUACAUAUACGUGAUUGUUAUUCUGAUACAUGUAUUUAAAUAUUCAUGAUUGGACAGAAAUGAAUAUGAACGUGAUUUUAUUGAAAAAAUAGUUACAGACGUCUCCUACAAGAUCAACCACGUUCCUCUACAUGUUGCUGAUUACCUUGUUGGACUCAAAUCUCGAAUAUCAGAAGUGAACUCACUUCUAGACUUGGGGUCUACUGAUGGAGUCUGCAUAAUAGGAAUCCUUGGAACCGAAGGAAUGGGCAAGACAAAACUUGCUCAAGCAAUUUAUAAUUUGAUUUCUAAUCAAUUUGAAUGUUUGUGUUUCCUUCACAAUGUGAGAGAAAAUUCAGUUAAACAUGGCUUAGAGUAUCUCCAAGAGCAGAUCCUCUCCAAAUCAAUCGGAUUUGAAACUAAGUUUGGACAUGUUAAUGAAGGAAUUCCAGUCAUAAAACGAAGGCUAUAUUAGAAGAAAGAUUUGUUGAUUCUCGAUGACGUUGACAAAAUAAAGCAAUUGCAGGUUUUGAUCGGACAGGCUGGUUGGCUUGGUCGUGGCAGCAGAGUAAUCAUCACCACUCGAGACAAACAAUUGUUAUCAUCUCAUGGGAUUAAAUUUUUUUACGAAGCAUAUGGUUUAAAUAAGGAACAAGCUCUUGAAUUGUUAAGAACAAAGGCUUUUAAAAGUAAGAAAAAUGAUUCAAGCUAUGAUUACAUUUUAAACCGUGCAGUUAAAUAUGCUUCUGGCCUUCCAUUAGCUUUAGAAGUAGUGGGUUCCAACUUGUUUGGAAAGAGUAUAGCAGAAUGUGAGUCUUUAUUAGAUAAGUAUGACAGAAUUCCACAUGAAGAUAUCCAAAAGAUUCUUAAAGUUAGCUAUGACGCUUUGGAUGAAGAACAACAGAGUGUCUUUUUAGAUAUUGCUUGUUUCUUUAAAGAGCGUAGAAAGGAGUUUGUCCAAGAGGUACUUCAUGAUCAUUAUGGUUAUUGCAUAAAAAGCCACAUUGGAGUGCUAGUUGAUAAAUCUCUUAUAAAGAUUAGUUUUUAUGGUGGGGUGACAUUACAUGACUUGAUAGAGGAUAUGGGUAUAGAAAUCGUCCGACAAGAAUCACGUAAUAAGCCUGGAGAACGCAGUAGGUUGUGGUGUCAUGACGAUAUAGUUCAUGUUUUACAGAAAAACAUAGUGACCAUGACUUUGCUCUUUUUACACUUAAUUACAUGUACAUGUUCUCUAUAUCUUAUUUGUAUUGUCAUUGAUUAAUUUUAUUUUUUUUGUUAAAAGGGAACUAGUAAAAUUCAAAUGAUAUAUCUGAAUUGUCCCUCAGAGGAACCUGUAAUAGAGUGGAAUGGAGAGGCCUUUAAGAAGAUGACAAUCUCAAAACACUUGUCAUAAAAAGUGGUCAAUUUUCCAAAAGUCCUAUGUAUAUUCCAAGUACUUUGAGAGUAUUGAUAUGGGAAAGAUAUUCUUUGAAGUCUCUAUCAUCUAGUAUUUUUAGCGAGGCAAGUGAAUUUUCCAAUUGUGCAUAUUUAUAAAUUCACUAUUAGAUUUUAGUUUUUAGUUACUUAUUUCUUAUUUUUUUAUGCAGAAGUUCAACUAUAUGAAAGUCUUGACAUUGAACCAUUGUCACUAUUUAACUCAUAUACCCGAUGUCUCAGGUCUAUCAAAUUUUGAAAAGUUCUCGUUUAAAAAGUGUAAAAAUUGAAUUACAAUUCACGAUUCGAUUGGGCAGCUAAGUAAACUUAAAAUCUUAAAUGCAAAAAAUUGCAACUCGCUAGAGAGUUUUCCACCCUUACGGUUGCCCUCUCUUAAGCAAGUGAAACUCGCUUAUUGUAGGAGUCUCAAGAGUUUUAUAGUGAUUCUAUAGUGAUUUCAAAUGUGGAUCACGUUCUUCUCAACCAAAGCAACUUAUCAGAUGAAUGUCUCCCAAUACUUCUCAAGUGGUGUGCUAAUGUGAAAUUGUUAUACUUAUCUGGUAACAAUUUCAAAAUUCUUCCUGAGUGCCUUAGUGUAUGUCACCUUCUUAGGAUCCUUAAUUUGGAUGAAUGCAAGGCUCUUGAAGAAAUUAGAGGGAUUCCACCAAAUCUAAAUUACUUGUCUGCAAUGGAAUGCGAUUCAUUGAGUUCCUCAAGUAGAAGAAGGCUAUUGAGUCAGGUUUGUUGUUGUUGUUUUAUCUUGCCAUAGUAUUUGUUAUAUAGUAUUUCAUAUAUAUUUGAUAAUGUGUAAUAUAUCUUAUACUAAACUAACAGAAACUACAUGAAGCUGGAUGCACUGAUAUUCGUUUUCCAACCAGAACAGAGGAGAUUCCAGAUUGGUUCGAGCAUCAAAGCAGGGGACAUGGCACAAUUUCUUUCUGGUUUCGUAAAAAGAUCCCUUCUAUUACUUCUAUUCUUCUUUGUCCUGGAACCGGGCAGAUUUCAGAAGUCGAUUUGUUUGUCAAUGGCGAUGAAUGUUAUGAUUCUAAUUAUUUAUGGUGUGGUUCUAACUUUAUGGCGAGUCCAGACUCAGAACAUGCAUUUUUGUUUGACUUGAAAUUGGAAGAACAGAUUGACUUACAGUAUGAAGUGGACUUAGCAGAAUGGACUCAUGUGGAGCUUAAGUUGACGAUUGAGGAUGAUUAUAGUGACACGGAGGAGAAUGAUAUUAGUGAGGAUGAGAAGAUUAAUAUAUUAAGGAGUGCACCAAUGGGAAUCCACGUUUUAAAGGAGAAAAGCAACACGGAGGAGGAUGUGAUAUUCACCAAUCCUUAUAAUAGAAAGAGAAAAUUAGAUGAAUAUCUGAAUGCUUCAUUAUCACAAUUUGAGUCUCCUUUGAAAAAGCAAAGAUUGGUAGGAGUGGGAGUUUUAGAGAUAGAAAUUUUUCAGCAGCAACAUCUAGAAGCUUUACUGUCAGGCAUGCGGAACAUGGUGCUAACUGAAACAAAAUAAAAGUAACACCAAGGCUAAAUUCCUUGGUCCAGGUACAUUAUUAUCAUAAUUAUAAACUGAUUAAUUGUUUCUAUUUGCAGAAGUUUUUCAAAUGAUUGAGACUUGUUUAGUCGCUGACAUAUGUUUGCAUCCAACACCGAAACAUGUGAUUAAAUUCAAAUAUGUUAUUUUCUCAAUUUCCUAUCCAUGUUGAGGAAACAGUGUCGAGUCCAUUGUCAUCUGUGUCAGUGUGGGAGAUGUUUUUUUCCCUCUUGUCUGAUAGAAAUUUUAGAAAUUAAAAAUGAAAUUUUUUUUACACAUAAAGCUUACUUAUAGUGAGUAUAUACGUUUCAUGAACCUCUAUUAAUCUAAUUAGUUAUGAUUCAUAUUUAACUUUAAUGUGAAGUAUAUAAUGUGAUUGCAAUUGAAACUUGAUACAUUACUGUAAAAUUAACACGAGGUUUACAGUGAGCUAAAUGCACAGAUUAGGCAGGUCAUAGAAGCUUUUUGUCUGUUCAUCAAUGUCAAUCUUUUCUGUUGCAGCUAUAACAUAAGGAUUCUUCAAAUUUAUCAUAAGCAAUCAGUUCUGAUAAAAGUUUAGGAAUCCAUCUCUCGGUCCGACUAUAUUCCUUCAAUCCGGGUGUAGUGGAAGUUGGGGACUUUCACACAACAUCUAUUAGAUUGCGUCGAAUCCUAGAUUUAUGUUGUUACAAGUAAGAUCCUUAUACUUUGAAAACAUAAAUGCUUUUAAUCAUAAUCUUUGUGAGAGGUCUUUUAAAAAAGAAAUUGAUUAUUAUCCCACAAUAUUAUAUUUCUAAAUAUGCAUAACUUGUCAUUUCUUAGGGAAUAUGAAUACAGUUAAUGUAAAUGUGUUGCUUUCGUCCAACAGGUCAAAUUAGAUACACACUUCAUCUUAUAUUAUAGAUCAUAGUAUUACACAAUAAAGUAUCUGCAACUGAGAAGCAUGAGAACACAGUGACUUGCAGUACAAGCAAUUGAAUUAGUAUAGUACAAUAUGAUAUUUUGUAUAGUACACUUGAGAUUAGAUAGUACAAUUCACAAAUGUACAUAUAUUAUGAUGUACUCUCAUUUCAAUCUAAUGAAUAAAUUCUACUUUUCACUAUUUCUUAAUACAUGGAUAGUUCCAAAGAUUAAAAAUUGCAAAAAAAAAAAAAAAAAAAAAAAAUUCUGCUGUGAAAACAAUUAUAUGUAUGAACUUGAUGGUAUGAUCUGGCAAAUGGAAAUGGAGAAUUUCGUUUCAUAACUCAGUUUUGGUUUUGUACUUCCAAGCAUGAAUUUACAAAAUGGUUAACGAUUUCUCUUUAUUGUAUCUCAUGAAUUAACAUUUCCUUCAUUCGUAUGACAUAUAGUCGUUUAAAUUGAUGAAAUGAAUUUCAUUUCAUUUUCUCACUUUGACUGCACGUUUCCUUUUUAAAACUGAAACAUGUUAGAACUUUUGUUAUCAAUACUGGAUCUUCUCAUAUUGAAAUAAAGUUAUAAACAUGACAAAGUGAUGUUGGUAACAUCUUCCUUCAAUCUCCCUAUCCCCAUUUUUUAACAACUUUCUCACUUAUAACAUUGAACAUAGAGAAUCCAUUCCCGUCAAUUUCAGCUUGUUGUCGAUAAUUUACGGAGCUUUUCUCUAUCCAAAACUAAGCAUUUACUAGUUCUUUGACUGUACAUUGUCAGGAAACCAUCUGUAGUGAUCUGGCUAUUCGCAUUGUCAUGCGGGAUGAUGUGAUUGUUCAAGAAUGGAGGAUGUUUGAAAAUUAAUGAUAUGCUUUGAAUCUCGGUUGAAGAGUUUUGAAAAUUUCAAUGUUGAGUAAUAUAUGCAUUGUUCAAGAAGAAAAGAAGAAUGGAGGAUGAUGUGAUUUUCAUCAAUCCUUACAGAGAGAGUAAAUCAGAUAAGGAUAUCAGAGUUUCUGAGACAGAACUUGUGUAGACGCAACAACACUGUAUGGCUCUUGUGUUUACAAGGACCAUAUUUUCAUCACUAAACAUGUUUUUUUUCCGCAUUUGGCAGAAAAGUGAUUUGUCCAGCUAGCCACAUAAUAGAAGACGCUGAAGUAUUCUUGUGUUUCGUUAAAGUCUGGGUUUGUAAUAAAUAGAAAGUCUAUUUUUUUUUAUUCGUAUUUUUCCUUUUUAUUGGAUCAACAAUGCACUACUCAUGUUCAUAUGAUUAAAUUGAUUUUAGGAAUACAAGUGUUUCUACAUACUGUGAUAUUGACAGAUGGUUCAUCACAAUCUCAGUUCAAUGAUGUGAACUUCCAUUUCAAAAAUUUGGAUGCAUAGUUUAAAUUUUUUUAUAAUUUUUUUAGUUCAACUGUUUGAUCGUUAGUUACCGAAAUAUUACAUUAUGGUAUUUCAAUGUAAUGUAGAUUGCAUUUCAAAACAAGUAUAGUCACACUCUAUAGAGGGAGAUUUCCACAUCAAAGGAAAAAAAGUAAAUAAAUAUCCAAAUGUGUGUUUGUAUUGUGAGGAGUACUAGCAAUAACACAGCCUUUAACACGCAUUUGCGUUUAUAAUUCUGGGAGAAGAGUUUUGGAGUGAGGAUAGUAAGAACAUGUGCGAGGAAAACUCUUAUGUCUUGCAAAAGAUAUUUCCUUAUGGAUCGGAUUGUCUAUCACUGCAUAGAGCUGAUCAAGCUGUCACAGGGAUUCCCCUAUAUGUAACUUUAUGUCGUCAUCUGUUGAUGCAAUUCAUAUUUACUUGUGUAUGUUAACGUUUCUCUUUUUUCAAAUUUAUUCGGUGAAUGUUUUUUCGUUUUCAUAUUUACUUGCCAAAUUUCAGAAUUUUGAUCCAUAACGUCCAUUUACGCACUUUUAGUCGGAGGAUUACUGUAAUUACCAUGAUCUGAUUCUUUGGGUUAGGCAGUAAAUUUGCUUUAUUCACAACCUGUUCAUGUUAUUCACAAUUUUUACAGCAUAACAUAUGUUACUUGGGGUUAAGCUCUUUAUUAAUUCUAUAAAUAAAUGGAUGCAUAACAAGGACUCCAAUAGUAUAGAUUUUAAAUUCGUAGGCAAUCUUUUUAUAAAUGGAUACACAUGUAGUUUCGUUAACAAUGUCAAUCAUUUCUAUCUCGUGAUAGUACCAGAUGACACAUAUCUAAGGAUUGUAUAUCAAACUUCUUCUAGCAGAAGCACAAAGACUAAAGAUUUGUUCUUUUAAUGGCAAAAUACUACGUACAGUCGCUAUUGAAACCUUUUAAUCAAGUUGUUAAUUAGUAGUUGGAUGCAAUAGGCAUACACAAAAGGAAACAACAAAUAAAAUGAAUUUCAUGAAACUUAAAUAAUGCAUAUUGUUGGAAGUGAUGAGAUAUUGUGAUUGAAACUAAAAGAGACAAAAAGAAUGACGACAAGUUUAGAGGGAGUAUGAAAACUGUUGUGUUGUUCUGGAAAACAAAUGUUCUUUUUGCUGAAAAGACAGAGUUGUUCUGUUUUUGUUCCUAUUAUGAUUGUUGCUAUUAUUAAUACUAGAUAUUGUGAUCUUUGUUCCUAUGCAUCUACACUCUUUCCAAAGUGGAUAUCCUUCACUACUUUUUUUAAGUAGUAAUAUGAGAUCCUUUUGCAAAGUGGAUAUCCUUUUAUAAGUAGUGAAUGUUGCAAGUAUAGUACUUAAUAUAUUGUUGUUGUUCUCAUCAGAUGAGACUUGAUAUAAGAUCCUAUGGAUGGUGAUUUUGCAAGUCUAAAAUAUUGUUUGAAUUUUCUGUUUUUAUUUGCAUGUAUUUACGAGAAUAGGUAUAGCUUGUAGAAUCGACACAAUAUUUGAAGUGCUUGUAUUUGAAUGUGUGAGAGUUAACUUAAAAUCAGGAAUCUGGAGAAACGUGCCACGAUGGAGAAGGAACGUGCAACGAUUGUUGAAACAAGAUUCUGAAGCAGUCACUGGAAACUUCGUGCAACGAUGGAAUCGUAACGUGGCACGAUGGUACGUUGAAGGAAAUAACAGAAACGUAUUUUCAGGGAAGAUUUAUUCCAUAUUUUAAGGGUUACUUUCCACUAUAAAUAUAAGUCUUGUAUCAGAUGAGAAACAGAAUAGAAAACAAGGUUUAGAAGCCAACAUACAAACUAGGGUUUAUAGAGAAUUUCUCUUGCCCACAACACUAGGGUUGGGAUUGUUUUGAUUCACCUCGAACAAAUCACUAUUAGGAUUGAGUCUCUUGGUCACAGGAAGAUGCUGGGACUUGGGUAGAAUUAGGUUGGAAGACUAAUUCUUGUAACUCAAUAUCUCUUUGUAAAGAAACUCAUAUCAUUAUAGUUGAACGGAGAGCUGCUCUCCCCCAGACCAGGUCAUCUUUACACCGAACUGGGUAAACAAAUUCUUGUGUUCUCCUUCUUCCUUCUAUCUCUUACUGUUUACUUUUGUUUGAAUUAUUUUCUAUCCGCUUGAUUUCAUUACUUGGUAUUAAUUUGCUCCACGCAUCAAGUUUUAUUGGUGUGCUUUUACAACUAAUUCACAUCACUAUUUUCUAAAAUUAUACAUAUUCUAUCACACCCCCGCAGUCGAAGCGGGAGGCUCGCGUAUGCUGAGACUGUCUCUAAAAUCUUGAAAUAGUACUAGGGGAAGACCUUUCGCGAAAAUAUCGACAAUUUGAUAUCGUGAGGGGACAUGUAGAACACAUACUUGUCCACGAGCCACUUUUUCAUGAACGAAGUGAAUAUCCAUCUCGAUGUGUUUAGUGCGUUGAUGUUGAAAAGGGUUCCCAGAUAAAUAUAUCGCACUAACAUUGUCACAGUAGACCAUGGUAGCCUUGUAUAUAGGACAAUGUAACUCCAAAAGUAGGUUGCGUAACCAACAAGACUCAGAUACGACAUUGGCAACACCUCAGUAUUCGGCUUCAGCACUAGAACGAGAUAAUUAGGGCUGGAAAUGAGUCGAGUCGAACCUGUCUGUGCUCGACUCGUUAAGAAUUGGCUCGGUUCGAACCUCGUUUCGAGUUUGACACGAACUUUUUUUUUCACCUCAAGUUCGGCUCGUUUAAAGUUGACGAACAGGUUGGUUCGGCUCAUUAGGUUCAUUUCGUUUGUUCAAAGCACAUUAGUUUAGAGGGUUAAUAGACCUUUACCCCUGUAAUAUAGGUCACUUUUGGUUUUCCCUCUGUAAAUUUUUUUUUGUCAGAUUUCAUCCUUGUAAUUUCUUUUUGUUUUAGAAUACCCCCAUAGGCAUGCUGACUGUGCCUUUUAUAUGAUGUGGCAUGAUGCGUCACCUUUUUCUGAUGACGUGACGCGCUGACUGUAUCAUUAUUUUAAUAAGUACACGUGGCAUUUGUGAUUUUUUUUUUAAAUAAAAAUAAAAAAAUUUCUUAAAAAAUUUUUAAAAACGAAAAAAAUUUACAAAAUAAAUAAAAUUUUUAAAAAAAUGGAAAAAUUAGUAAUGAUUAAAAAAAUAAUGAAAAAAAUUAUAAAAAAAAUCUGGAAAUAUAUAAAAAAAUUGUGGAAAAGAUUAAUAUAUAUAUAUUGAAAUUUUCAAAUUUUUUUUUCCAGAAUAUCAUAUUUAAAAAAAAAAUCGAAAAAAAAUUAUACAGUCAGUGUGCCAUGUCAUCAAAAAAAGGUGACCCAACAAUCCACAUCAGCAAAAAUGCACAGUCAGCAUGCCUAGGGGGUAUUCUAAAACAAAAAAAAUUUACAAAGAUGAAAUCUUACAUAAAAUUUUUACAGGGGAAAACCAAAAGUGACCUAUAUUACAAGGGGAAAAGACCUAUUAACCCUAUUUUAGAUAUGGAAAUGAGUAAAGCCACUUGAACGACAUAACUCAAAAGUCAAAGAAUUUAAAUUUUUGACCCAUAAAUAUAUUAGAAUUUAUACCAAUUUUUAAAGGACUCGAUGAGGCUAUUAUUACACAUAAUAAGUAACACUGGUAUGCAACCACCAAAUCUCAGAUAAUGUGGGUUGGCGGCAUUUGGAAGACCACGAGAGUAGAUUGUCACAAAGAAAUACACAAUAACGAGAAGUAGAUCUCCUGGUAUCUAGACAUCCGCCCAAAUCAGAAUCUGCGUAGGAUAUCAAGGAUGUAGUGGAUGAGGGAUAAAGAUGCAGUCCAUACUGACGAGUUCCUUGAACAUAGCGCAGGAUGCGCCUGAGAGCUUGCAUGUGAUCAUCUAUCGGAUUAUGCAUAAAUAAACAAAUCUAUUGUACUGCAUAGGAAAUGUCAGACCUAGUAAAUGUGAGAUAUUGUAGAGCUCCAGCAAGGCUGCGAUAGAGAGAUGGGUCCUCAUAUGGGGUGGUACUUUUGGUGCUAAGCUUCGGUUUUGUGUCGACUAGGGUAGGACACGGCUUACACGAGGACAUGCCAACACUUUCAAUGAUCUCUUCUGCAUACUUUUUCUGAGAUAAAAAUAGACCAUCAAUGUAUCUUGUGACUGCAAUACCCAAGAAAUAGUUAAGGGACCCCAAAUCGAACCAAACCAAACCGCAUAUUUUUUUACCUUACGGUUCGGAUGACUUUUAACCUCAAAACCAAACUAAACCUCACCGUGAACACCUCUACAUUGAAAUACCAUAAUGUAUUAUUAUUAUAGUUAAUAAUCCAAGAGAAGACCCGUACUUUUGAUGGGGCACAAAUUUCUCACACAUUGGAUAGUAACUAACUCACCCUUUUAACUGAGGUUGGAUCUAGAGGAAGGAGUUUGGUUAUCACAACAAAGUGAAACAAUAUUUGAAUUCUGACUAUAACAGGUGUCCAUAUUUAGUAUCCGGCGCGAUUAAAAUAGAAAUACUUUUGGUGGAAGGGAUCCUAUGAAAAAAAAAAAAAACAGUUUAUGAUUAACUACCAUUUACUUUUGAUCUACUCUUCAAUUUAUUUAUAUUUACUUUUGAUCUGAAUCAUUAAAUUGAACAGGCCUUAAUUCAUCACACCUUCAAAAUUGAUGUUGUCCACAGUAAAAGGAAAUUUCAUGGUAAAUAAAAUAAUCAUUCAACGUUAUCCCCCGGCAUAUCUACUUCCUGUCGCUACACUUUGAGAGUGAUACAAUUAUCAUAUUAAUUAAUGUGUGACUGAUUGGUCCACACGUAUAAAGGAAGAAAUUCUAUCAAAUUUCACAUUUGUCAAAAGUUUGAAUUAUCAUUUUUAUGUUCAGUGCGAGAGUUGUUAAAAUUGGCUUGUUAUUUAGUUAUAUUUUAACAGACUGGACACAAGCCACGCGGAGGAGAAAAUGGUAAGAAAGUUCUAUUUAGUGUUAUAUUACAGAGGCCAACAAUAACAUACACCAACUCAUCCAUAUUCUGUAUUCUUAAACAAUAUCCUCCUAUCUUCCAUUAAUUUCCUUUCAAUUCUCAUGGCUAUGCAAUCUCCUUCCUAUUCCUCUUCCUCUUUAAUUUCCUACGGAUUCACCUACCAGGUCUUCCUCAACUUCAGGGGCAGUGACACUCGUGACGGUUUUACUGGACAUCUCUACAAGGCUCUUACUGACAAGGGAAUUCACACCUUCAUUGAUGAUUGUGAUCUUAAGAGAGGAGAUGAAAUCACACCAUCACUCAUCAAGGCCAUUGAAGAAUCUAGGAUUUUUAUUCCUGUGUUUUCUAUCAACUAUGCCUCUUCUAAAUUUUGUUUGGACGAACUUGUCCACAUCAUUCAUUGCUACAAGACAAAGGGUCGUCUCGUUUUGCCCGUUUUCUAUGGCGUGGAUCCUACUCAGAUACGGCAUCAAAGUGGGAGUUAUGGUGAACAUCUCACUAAGCACGAAGAGAGUUUCCAAAAUAACAAGAAAAACAAGGAACGAUUGCAUCAAUGGAAGUUGGCUCUGACCCAAGCUGCUAACUUGUCCGGAUACCAUUAUAGUCCUGGGUACCCCACUUUACUUAAACCUUGUUUUUCCUUUUUAUAUUUUCUUUAUUUAAUUUUUUUUCCACAAAAUCUCAUCUUAAAGCUUAAAUAGGAAACACAUAUUUUUAUUAAUGUUUUUAAACAAGUAUAAAUUAUUUAUAUGUCAAAAGAGUUAGAACUGUAUAAUAUAUUCUCGGUACAUCAAUGUAUUUGUGAUGUUGGUGCAUGUACUAACUUAUCUUGUGGGACAUGAAUAGAUAUGAAUACAAGUUUAUUGGGAAGAUAGUCGAAGACAUCUCCAACAAGAUCAAUCGUGUCAUUUUACAUGUAGCCAAAUACCCUGUUGGAUUAGAGUCCCGAUUAGAACAAGUGAAAUUGCUUCUUGAUAAAGAAUCUGAUGAAGGGGUCCAUAUGGUAGGACUUUAUGGUACUGGAGGUUUGGGUAAAUCAACACUUGCCAAAGCGAUUUAUAAUUUUGUUGCUGAUCAAUUUGAAGGUGUAUGCUUUCUUCAUAAUGUCAGAGAGAAUUCAGCUCAUAAUAACUUGAAACAUCUCCAGAAGGAGCUCCUUUCAAAAACAGUUAAAGUGAACAUUAAGUUUGGACAUAUUUGUGAGGGAAUUCCAAUCAUUAAGGAAAGGCUAUGUAGAAAGAAGAUUCUUUUGAUUCUCGAUGAUGUUAACCAACUGGAUCAGCUAGAGGCUUUGGCUGGAGGACUUGAUUGGUUCGGUCCUGGAAGCAGAGUCAUCAUCACCACCCGAGAUAAACACUUACUAACCUGUCAUGGGAUAGAAAGAACAUAUGCAGUAAGAGGGCUAUAUGGGACAGAAGCUCUUGAAUUGUUGAGGUGGAUGGCGUUUAAGAAUAACAAAGUACCGCCAAGUUAUGAAGACGUUUUAAACCGUGCAGUUUCAUAUGCUUCAGGCCUUCCCUUAGUUUUAGAAAUAGUGGGUUCCAACUUAUAUGGAAAGAGCAUAGAAGAAUGGAAGGGUACAUUAGAUGGAUAUGAAAAGAUUCCCAAUAAAAAGAUCCACGAGAUACUUAAAGUAAGCUAUGAUGCUUUGGAGGAAGAGCAGCAGAGUGUCUUUCUAGACAUUGCUUGUUGCUUCAAAGGAUGUAGAUGGGAGGAGUUUGAAGAUAUACUUCGUUAUCAUUAUGGCCAUUGCAUAACACAUCAUCUUGGAGUGUUGGCUGAAAAAUCUCUCAUUUACCAAAAUCAUGGUUAUCUGAGAUUACAUGACUUGAUAAAGGACAUGGGUAAGGAAGUAGUCCGACAAGAAUCACGUAAAGAGCCUGGAGAACAAAGUAGGUUAUGGUGUCAAGAUGAAAUAGUUCAUGUUUUAAAAGAAAACACUGUGAGUAAGAUUAAUAUCUAUGAUCAAUUUGUUAUUUAGUUUUAAUACGACUUUGCUCAAUUUGGAUAAAUAUAUAUGACCAUCUCAUACAUGUAAAUAUUUUUUUAUGAUUGAUUAAUUUUUUUUUUUGUUGAAAGGGAACUAGUAAAAUUGAAAUGAUAUAUAUGAAUUUCCACUCCAUGGAAUCCGUAAUAGACCAGAAAGGAAAGGCCUUCAAGAAGAUGACAAAACUCAAAACACUUAUCAUUGAAAAUGGUCAUUUUUCUAAAGGUCUUAAAUAUCUUCCAAGCAGUUUGAGAGUAUUGAAAUGGAAAGGAUGUUUAUCAGAGUCUCUAUCAUCUAGUAUUUUAAGCAAGGCAAGUUAUAUAACUUCAUUUUCUAAUUGUAUAUAUUUAUAAAUUCACAAUGAUUUUGUUUCCGUCAACAAAAACAAAUCACUAUGAGAGUAUAGUGUUUGAUUUUUAAUUUAUUUAUUUGUUUGUUCCUUGUGUUUAUGCAGAAGUUCCAGAAUAUGAAAGUCUUGACAUUGAACUGUUGUGAAUAUUUAACUCAUAUACCUGAUGUCUCAGAUCUUCAAAAUUUAGAAAAGUUCUCAUUUAUGUUUUGUAAGAAUUUAAUUACAAUUGACGACUCAAUUGGGCACCUAAAUAAACUUGAAAGCUUAGAUGCAGGUUGUUGCAGCAAGCUCAAGCGUUUUCCACCCUUAGGGUUGACAUCUCUUAAGCAAUUGGAACUCAGUGGUUGUGAGAGUCUAAAGAAUUUUCCAGAAUUAUUAUGCAAAAUGAGAAAUAUAAAACAUAUUUUUUUGUCUAGAACUUCAAUAGGAGAAUUGCCAUCUUCAUUUCAUAAUCUCAGUGAACUUCGUAGUUUACACAUAUUUGGAAUGUUUAGGUUCCCAAAACCUAAUGAUAAAAUUUAUUCUGUAGUGUUUUCAAAUGUGGAUCAUCUUGUUCUCGAAAAUUGCAACCUCUUUGAUGAAAGUCUCCUAAUAAUUCUCAAAUGGUGUGUUAAUCUGAAAAAUCUAGUCUUAGCAAAGAACAAUUUCAAAAUUCUUCCCGAGUUCCUUAGUGAAUGUCACCAUCUUGUUGAAAUUAUCGUGGACGGCUGUACCUCUCUUGAGGAAAUUAGGGGGAUUCCACCAAAUCUUAAAUGGCUUUCUGCAUUGAGAUGUGAAUCAUUGAGUUCCUCAAGUAGAAGAAUGUUAUUGAGUCAGGUUCGUUGUUGUUUUAUCUUGCAAUAUAUGGUAUUUCAUGUAUAUAAUUGGUAGUGUAAUUAUUAUUAUGUUGUAUAAACUAACAGAAACUACACAAGGCUGGAUGCAUUGAGGAGAUUCUUAUGCCAAACGGAAUAGAGGGGAUUCCAGAUUGGUUCGAACACCAAAUCGUUAGGGGAGACACAAUUUCUUUUUGGUUUCGUAAAAAUAUCCCUUCUAUAACAUGUAUCAUUGUUAUUCCGGAAUCUGUGGAAAUUGAAAAAUUCAAUGUGUUUCUCAAUGACAAGGAAAUUACUACUAUGGAGUGUUUAUUAUAUCCUAAAGAUAUCUCGCCGGGACAUUCAAUUUUGUUUGAUAUGAAAUUGGAUGAGAAUAUUUACGAGAGUUUUGCAAAUAAGUCUGAACUGUACGGAGCAUUUAAAAAUAAUGAAUGGAACCAUGUGGAGCUUAUUUGGAAGUUAUAUUAUUGGAGUGACAUGGAGGAGGAUGAUUGGAGUGACACGGAGGAGGGUGAGAAAGAGAUGAUCAUAUUAAGCAGUGGUGUACAGAUGGGAAUCCACGUGUCGUGGAAUGGGUAUGAUUGGAGUGACACGGAGGUGGAGAAAAGCAACAAGGAGGGGGAAGUGAGAUUCACUAAUCCUUAUAGUAGAAAGAGAAAACUUGAUGAAUAUCUUUUCAUUUACAGCAAUACUUUAUUAUCACAAUUUGUGCCUCCUCUAAAAAAGCAAAGAUUGGUGGAAGUGGGAGUUUCAAAGACAGAAAUUUUGCAGCAGCAUAAUCUAGUAGCUUUAGUGUCAGACAUGCGGGAUUUGGUCCUCACUGAAACAAAACAAAAGGAACAUCAUGGCUAGUUUCCUUGGUCAAGGUACAUCAUGUGAUUACAUUCAAAUAUGUUAUUUUCUUAAAUUACCGCCGGUGUCGAAUCUGGUGUCCAUAUUUGUGUCGGUGCGCUAUAUAGGGAGAGGAUGUUUUGUCACAGUAUUAAUAGCCUAAACACAGUAUUAAUGGUUAAUUAAUAUCAAUCUUCUCUAUAGCAGCAACCAUCUCUCAGGGCAUCCAGCUGCAUCCCUUCAGUCCAGAAACGUGUAGUGAGCUUGGCAAAUUUCAUAAAUUGGGACGCAUCCUAAAUGAAUGUUGUUACAAGUAAGAUCCUUAUACUUUGAAACCAUAAAUGCUUUUAAUCAUAAUCUUUAUGAAAGAUCUUUUGAAGAAGAGAUUGAUUUCUAUUCCAUAGUAUUAUUUUUAUAAAUACGCAUGACUUGUCAUUUCUUAGGGAGGAUGUAAACCGUUAUAAAAAAUUGCGCAUCUUUUGUCAAACAGGUCAAAUUAGAUACAAACUUCAUCUUAUAUCACAGUGAAACAGUCUAUGCUGUCGUGGAAACGUUUAUAUGUAUGAAAUUGAUGGUAUACAGAAGCCUUUUUCCAAUCAAAUUUUGUUUCGAAUUUGCAAAUGGAAGUGGAGAAUUUCCUUUCAUAACUCAGUUUAUCUUCUACUCCUUAUAUUUUUUCUUCCUUAUCUUUGUGAAGUCUUACAAACUGGUACUCCGUUUCUCUUUAAUGUAUCUCGUGAAUUAACAUUUCCUUUAUUCAUAUGACUUAAAAAUAUUUUAAAAUGAAUUUCAUUUCUCAUUUUGACCAAAACGUGUGAGAAAUUUUUGGUUUUUGCAUAGUGGUUUGUUUGACAAUUUCAAAAGUGGAUCCUCUCUUGUUGAAAUAAACAUAAGGUAGUUAUGUUUCAAAUUCAGGCAAGUUUUCUUUAACCAAAACUACGAAUUAACUUGUUCUUUGUCUGUACAUUGUCAGGAAACCAUCUGUAGUCACCUGUCUAUGUGCAUUGUCAUGCGAUAUGUCUAGAGAUUUCUCGCACCACAGAAUCUGUUGGUUGUUCGAAAGGGCAGUGAGUAAUGCUAUGCUUUGAGCUUAGUUAUACUGGUUGCAGAUUUUUGAGAAUUUCAAUUUCAGUACACAAAUUGGAAUCCUUAUAGAAAGAGUAAAUAAGAACUCUGACAACAGCAAAUGUAUGUAUGUAUGAUGUGAACUUCCAUUUCUCAAAUAAAGUGUUUGAUUAUUAAUUACAACUAGACUUUGAAUAUUCUCCUAAAUUUGUUUUUUGUAAAUAUUAUAUUGUAAUAGCUUUUUAAAUAUAAUUAUAAGGCAACAUCUCAUAAUAUAUGGUACGUAACACUCUUUCAAAAAAAAAUAAAAAAUGGUAAGUAACACUUUCACCGAGAAAAAAACUUUCACCGAAUGAACCUCCUAAGAGGCCAAAAUCCACUUUCACCGAAUGAACUAAAAACCAAAGACCAAAGACCAAAAUCCACUACCCAUACUUUCCAUAUUUUAAGUUAUUACAAUAUAUAAUCACAGAAAAUAUUAGAAGCUGUAAAUUAAUAUUCAGAUGAUCAACUUCAAAAACCUUGGCACAUAUUUGACAUUGAACGAAACUGGUUAGCAACUCUUGUUAGUAGUGAGAUAGGAAAUGGUGAAACCACUUUACUUUCGAAUGAAUUAUGGAAGGGUACCAACCAAUCAGUUUCUAUUUCCUGAACUGUACAUUACUUUGCAGAGAAUAGUGGCAAAUUUACAGCUGCAGAAACCUGUAUUGGAUGUUGAUAAAUGGUUGCCAGAGAGUGCAACAGAUUCUCGGUGAAAGGAUGUUAUGAAGAUCUGUGAUAUUUGCGUUUUUCCAAUGAUUUCAAGGAUGAAUUAUUGAAGGCAGUGCAGAGAUUAUGGUUCACAUCAUUGCCAAAAAAAAUGUGUUUGGUUUGGGACUCUUACAAGAUAGACUUCAUAACCGGCUCGAUUGUGAGGAUUCCCUAUGGACAUUCCUUGAUGUGAUCCCUCAAACUUUUGAUCUCAGUCAAAUGUUCGCAGUUCCGCUCAAUGACGCAUUGGCAGAAACAUCACAUCACCCGACCUUCAGCUUCAAUAUCCCUGGCACAAACAAAAUGUAUUGUUGUCUCUCGUGUUGUAUGAGUGACAUCCAUGGCACUCUUUGUCAGCUAUGGAGACCAUUGCAAAUAGGAAAUAAGAGUAGGAAAUGGAUGAAUACUGUUCUUUUGGUGGUCACAGAGUAUCGUUUGGGCACAAACAAAAUGUAUUGUUUGUCCUUGCAGCAUUUCAACCAGUAAAUUUUCUUUCGUCACAAUUUGUUCCCGAUAUUAUUCCUAUAAUUUAAUGUCAAGUUGUGCGUUCAUCAUGUUUUGGUUUCAACAAAAUAUCCGCUCUCAAUUAAUUUUGAAGUUCCCACUUGGAAAUGUCACUUUGAUUUUAAGGCAUUGACAUUGAUUUUUAAGGCACACAUUGGCUUACACAUAGCAUAUUUCUGACUUUGAAAUGUGAUUGUUACUUCAAUUAGCUUCUCUGUCUCAUCUUCAAUUGAAAAUUUAAAUUCAAAGUCAUUUUUCCUUAACGUUGAGCUAGCCAGAGCUUGUCAUCAUAUUUGGGAUGAAAUAUAUAUAAAUUCUGUAUGGCUAAUUAAGCAUUAAACAUAAUAACCUACACUAAUAAUUGUGUGUGAACGGUUAAUUAAUCAUUUUGAAGACAUAGUUGGUUACCAAUGACACGCAAAUCCAUUUUUAAAGCAAAAAUUUGAUUGUGUAUUAAGCACUGUCAUACAUGAGAUGUGAGUGAGUAAUGUUAUGCUUUGCAACUCAGUUGUACUAUGGCGUUGCUACAUUGGGCAUAAACCUUUGGCAGCUCGACCUAUUUUUAAGGCAUUCAGAUAGGAAAUGGGAAAGAAAUUUCCCACAUUGGUCUUACUAAUAAUUAAGCUCUUUUAUUGCUUUAGUUAACAUGAAUAUAUCAAAGUUUUUGAUGCAUUAGUUUAUUAAGCUGUUUGAUGCUGCCUUCAACUCAACCUUUCUUCUUCCAACAUUUAAAAUAAUUGUAAAAUUAACAAUGAAAAAUAUAAGGGUCAUGCUAACUUGUGCCUUUAGGGCACAAGUUAAAUAGCUUAAGAUGGGGAUUAAAAAUAAAUUUCAUAUUGAAAAUAUAACUUUUGAAACUUUUAAGACAUUGAAUGUACAAUUUUCAAGAAAAAAGUUUUACAUUUAGCUUCUUAAUUUAUGCCACAGGAGCACAAGUUAACAUUUCCCAAAAUAUAAUAUAGAUAUAGAUAGUACAAUGUAAAAUUAACAUUUAGUUAUUGUAUAAAUAUCAAGUUACUGUAUAAACUUGUAUGAACAGCUAAGACCAUUUACAAUGGCUUGUUGAAUGCCAUAUUCAACAUGUUGAGACCAUUGGAGGAGGCUAUUGAAUAUGAGGGAAGGGGAGAGAGGUGUUGAAAAGGUUCAACAUGUUGAAAGCCUGGCCCGCAGUGACACGUGGCUUGUUACGAUUGGCUGCUUGGAUUUUUAUUUUCUUAAUAAUUUGGACUCAAUUAUUUCAUAGCAAAUAAAAAAAAAUUAAUUUUUUUUUACCAAAAUUCGUGAUUUUUUUUUUCUCUACAAAUAGAAACUUGGAUCAUUUGAUUUGGACACAGAAAAAAAAUCAAAUUUUUCACUCUCUUAAUCUUAUUAUUAGCAUUUCUUUUGAAGUUUUAGUCUUUGUUUAGUAAAAUGGAUUCCAAUAAUAAUCAAUUCAACACCCAAAAUUCUUCUGAUUACUCAUUUAGCUACCAAAAUCUCUACGAUCAUCAACAGCCAAAUCAAUUUCCCAACCAACAUCUUCAAAACCCAAAUCAAUUUUAAGUUAUACUUAAAUAAUUACUUGUGUGUUGUAUGCUUAGUUUGUUGUCUUCCAUUUUAAGUUAUUUGUGUCGCAUUUUAAGUUAAGAAAAUAAAAAUAAAUUAUUUUACAAAAUUUUGUUUUUCCAAAAAAAAAAACAAAAAAAUAAAUAGUUGAUUGUAUUAUUUUAAUUUAAUUAUAAUCGAUAAUUUUAGUUAAUUAUAAAAACAAAAAUAUAAAAUUAAAUAAGAAUAAGAAAUAAAAGGUGGUGGGGUAGGGUGUUGAAUGAAAAAACUAUUGGAGAGGUAAAAAUUGAAUGGGUGUUGAAUUAUGAGAGAGAAAAUGACAUAGAGUGUUGAGAAUUGAAAAAGUAGGUGUUGAGAGUAUUGAAAUUUUUUUCCCAUUGUACAUGGUCUAAGUAUUUUGUUUGGACACACAUAAUAUAUAUCAGAACCACUUUUGACUUUUGAAGUCUAAACAAAAUAUCACAGCUGUCAAUUCAUUUCUAAGGUCUCACUUGAAAAUGUCAGUUUGAUUUUUAAGGCAUUGACAUUAAUUUUUAAGGCACACAUUGGUUUAGAUAAGUAUUAAUAGUCUUCAUCAACCUAUCCAUCCUUCAUUGAUGGGUACAGAUGUAGAAAAUUUAAAGGAAAGUGUCCACAUGGAAGAUGAGAAGGAAGUUUCGGACUUGACAUGGUAGUAAAAUUAAAGUGUUGACUUUGGUAGCCAAAACUUGAGAAAAUAUAUGAAAGAAAUAAUAUUUCAGAUCUAUGCUACCCUAAUCUUGUUAACUAACAAAUUAUGUUACAAUUGUAUAAUUAAGCAUUCAAUAUUGCAACUUACACUAAUAAUUGUGUGUGCAUGGUUAAUUAAUCAUUUAGUUCAAGAGGUCAUAUUUUGAAGACAUGUAUAGUUGGUUACCAAUGACAUGCAAAUCCAUUUUUAAAGCAAAAUAAUUCACUAGAACUAGUCUUCAUCUAUCCUCAUGCUAAAAAAGGAUGGGGAUUUAAUACAAAUAUUCAAUACUAUCACUUACGUACUAGUCUUCAUACAACUUCUUUUACUUACUUUUAAUUUUCAACCAUAUGUACAUCCAAUAAUUAACAUAAAAAAAAAAAUGAAAAAGUAGUGAUUGAAUAACAGAUUAAUUUUUGCAACUGUCUUAUUAGAUGUUAGAAGAGCAUGGUUUGCAUUUAUUUUUAUUUCAUGUUAUUUACCACUGAUUAAUUAACUUACUAAGUGAAAAAUCACACAGUUGAAAAAUAAAACUUGUAAAAUGUCUUGUAGAAUAUAUAUGUGUGUGUGUGUGUAUAUAUAUAUAUAUAUAUAUAUAUAUAUAUAUAUAUUUAUUUGUUUCAUAGUUUUAAACAUUUUUUUUUCUCUUCUCAGGUGGUCGUGCUCACAUCUCGGAACCAACAUCACUCUUGAUGAUAUAAAAUAUCAAAAUACAGUAUCGGAAAUCAUGUUUCCAAAUAACAAAAUAGAAAGCCUUAUAUUGCAGUAUUAGGCAAAAAGAAAAAGAAAAAUAAUAGUUCACUACUAUUUAGUGUCACAUUGAACAGUUAUCACAUUGAAGAAAUUUGCAAGAAUAGGUGGAAGUACAAUGAUAUUUAGUAUGUGAUUGGGUCCACACGGCUAUAACAAGUGGCCACAAAGUUUCACAGAUCAUUUUUUUCAUAAGUUUUCUCCUUGUUAUAAAGUUACUUACCAAAGACUUUACAUCACAGACCACAAAAACUUACUCAUUCAUAUUCUGCAUUCCCAAACUCUUUUUUCAUCCAUUUUCUCUCAAUUCUCAUGGCUAUACAAUCACCUUCCUCAUCCUCUUCAUUUUCCUAUGGGUUUAAAUACCAAGUGUUCCUCAGUUUUAGGGGCAUUGACACCCGGCACGGUUUUACCGGCAAUCUCUACAAGGCUCUUAUUGAUAAGGGAAUCCAUACUUUCAUUGAUGACAAUGAUCUUCUCAGAGGAGAUGAAAUCACACCAUCACUCGUUAAGGCCAUUGAAGAAUCCAGGAUUUUUAUUCCCAUAUUUUCUGCCAACUAUGCAUCUUCUUCAUUUUGUUUGGACGAACUUGUCCACAUCAUUCAUUGCUAUAAGACAAAGGGUUGUUCGGUUUUGCCUGUUUUCUAUGGUGUGGAUCCUACUCACAUACGACAUCAGACUGGAAGUUACGGUGAGCAUCUUACUAAGCAUGAAAAGAAGUUCCAAAAUAACAAGGAAAACAUGCAGAGGUUGGAGCAAUGGAAGAUGGCUCUGACCAAAGCUGCCAACUUGUCUGGCUACCAUUGUAGUCAAGGGUACCCCACUUUACUUAAAUCUUGUUUUUCCUGUAAUUUAUAUUUUCUUUUCUUUAACUUCUUUUCCCCAAUAAUCUCAUUUUAAAUCUUAGAAAGGAAGCAUGUUUUUUAUUUAUGUAUUUAAACAAGUAUAAGUUAUUUAUAUGUUAAAACAUGUAUGUGAUUGUGAUUAAUGUAGUCUGUGUACUAACUUAUCUCUUGUACAUGAAUAGAUAUGAAUACAAGUUUAUUGAGAAUAUAGUCAAAGACAUCUCCGACAAGAUCAAUCGUGUUUUUUUACAUGUUGCCAAAUACCCUGUUGGAUUAGAGUCUCGAGUACAACAAGUGAAAUUGCUUCUUGAUAAGGGAUCUAAGGAUGAGGUUCUCAUGGUAGGACUUUAUGGUACUGGAGGCAUGGGUAAAUCAACACUUGCCAAAGCAAUUUAUAAUUUUGUCGCUGAUCAAUUUGAAGGUGUAUGUUUUCUUCACAAUGUCAGAGAGAAUUCAGCUCAUAAUAAUUUGAAACAUCUCCAGGAGGAGCUCCUUUCAAAAACUGUUAGAGUGAAUAUUAAGUUAGGAGAUGUUAGUGAGGGAAUUCCAAUCAUAAAGGAAAGACUAUCUAGAAAGAAGAUUCUUUUGAUUCUCGAUGAUGUUGACAAACUGGAGCAGCUAGAGGCUUUGGCAGGAGGACUUGAUUGGUUCGGUUGUGGAAGCAGAGUCAUCAUUACCACUAGAGAUAAACACUUGCUAAACUGUCACGGGAUAGAAAUAACAUAUGCCGUAAAAGGGCUAUAUGGGACAGAAGCACUUGAAUUGUUGAGAUGGAUGGCUUUUAGAGACAAUGUUCCUUCAGGUUAUGAAGAAAUUUUAAGCCGUGCAGUUUCAUAUGCUUCAGGACUUCCCUUAGUUAUAGAAGUAGUGGCUUCAAACUUGUUUGGAAAGAGCAUCGAAAAAUGGAAGAGUACAUUAGAUGGAUAUGAAAAGAUUCCCAAUAAAAAGAUUCAAGAGAUACUUAAAGUAAGCUAUGAUGAUUUGGAGGAAGAGGAGCAAAGUGUCUUUUUAGAUAUAGCUUGUUUUUUCAAAGGAUGUAGAUUGAGUGAGGUCGAAGAGACACUUCUUGCUCACUAUGGUCAUUGCAUAAAACAUCAUGUUGGAGUGUUGGUUGAAAAAUCUCUCAUAGAGAUUAAUACACAAAGCCAUCGGUCAUAUAAUGAUGAUGUGGCAUUACACGAUUUGAUAGAGGACAUGGGUAAAGAAAUCGUCCGACAAGAAUCAAGUAAAGAGCCCGGAGAACGUAGUAGGUUAUGGUGUCACAAUGACAUAGUUCAUGUUUUACAGAAAGAUACCGUAAGAUUGAUAUCUAUGAACAAUUUGUUAUUUUAGCUGUAACCAUGAUUUUCGCUCUUUAUGGACUUAUAUAUGAUCAUCUUAUACUAGGUUCUUUUUUCACUUCAAUACAUGUAUAUUUCUAUACAUAUUAUUUGUAUUGUGGCUUAUUCGUAUAUUUUUUGGUUAAAAGGGAACCAGUAACAUUGAAAUGAUAUAUCUGAAUUGUCCCUCGAUGGAAACCAUAAUAGACUGGAAUGGAAAGCCCUUCAGGAAGAUGACAAAUCUCAAAACUCUUAUCAUUGAAAAUGGCCGUUUUUCUAAAGGUCCAAAACAUCUUCCAAGUAGUUUGAGAUUUUUGAAAUGGAAAGGAUGUCCUUCGAAGUCUCUAUCAUCUUGUAUUUCAAACAAGGCAAGUGAAAUAAGUUCAUUUUUCGAUCGUGUAUAUUUAUAAAUUCAGUAUUAUAUUAUAAUUAUAAUUAUAAUUAUAAUUUUAACUUCUUUUUUAUGCAGGAGUUCAAUAAUAUGAAAUUCAUGACAUUGGACGAUUGUGAAUAUUUAACCCAUAUACCCAAUGUCUCAGGUCUCUCAAAUUUAGAAAAGUUCUCAUUUCGAAAUUGUGCUAAUUUAAUUACAAUUCACAAUUCAGUUGGAUACCUAAAUAAACUUGAAAUCUUAGAUGCAUAUGGUUGCAGAAAGAUCGUAAGUUUUCCACCCUUACGGCUUCCCUCUCUUAAGGAAUUUCAACUCAGUUGGUGUAAGAGUCUCAAGAAAUUUCCAGAAUUACUAUGCAAGAUGUCAAAUAUAAGAGAAAUUCAGUUAAUUGAAUGUCUUGACGUAGAAGAAUUUCCAUUUCCAUUUCAAAAUCUCAGUGAACUUAGUGAUUUAGUGAUAAACAGAUGUGAAAUGCUCAGGUUCCCAAGACACGAUGAUAAAUUGGAUUUCAUAGUGUUUUCAAAUGUGCAAAUGCUCGAUCUCAAUAACAGCAAUCUCUCAGAUGACUGUCUUCCAAUACUUCUCAAGUGGUGUGUUAAUGUGAAAUAUCUAAACUUAUCAAAGAACAAUUUCAAAAUUCUACCCGAGUGCCUUAGUGAAUGUCACCUUCUUAAGCAUCUUUAUUUGGAUAAAUGCCAAUAUCUUGAGGAAAUUAGAGGGAUUCCACAGAAUCUCGAACACUUGGAUGCAGUGAACUGUUAUUCAUUGACAUCCUCAUGUAGAAGAAUGUUAUUGAGCCAGGUUUGAUGUUUUUUCUUGUAAUAGUAUUCAAUAUAUAGUUUUUAAUAUAAUUCAGUGUAGUAAUAUAUUUUAUGCUAAACUAACAGAAACUACAUGAGGCUGGAUGUACUCGUUAUUAUUUUCCAACCGGGGCUGAGAGGAUCCCAGAUUGGUUCGAGCACCAAAUCAGGGGACAAACAGUUUCUUUCUGGUUUCGUAAAAAGAUCCCUUCUAUUAUUUGUAUUCUUCUUCUUCCGGGAUCUAAGCUGAUUCCAAGAUUCAAUUUGUUUAUCAAUGGCCGUAGAGGUGAUUAUUCUACUGAUUAUUUAUCGUCUUGUCCCUCUUACAUGAAUCUGUCAGAACAUACAUUUUUGUUUGAUCUGACUUUGGAAGAAACCAGUGAACAUUUCAGUCCCACGUCUGAAAUGGACAAUGCACUUUUAAAAAAUGAAUGGAUCCAUAUCGAGCUUAAGUUGGAGAAUUUCAAUCUUCCUGAAAUAGAGAUAAAAAAAUUAAGCAGUGCGCAAAUUGGAAUCCAUGUGUUGAAGGAGAAAAGCAACACGGAUGAGGAUAUGAUAUUCAGCAGUCGUAAUAGAAAGCGAAAAUUAGAUGAAGAUGUCAAUGCUUCAUUACCACAAUUUCAUCCUGCGCAGAAAAAGCAUAGAUUUGUGGAAGUGGAACUUACAGAGACAGAAAUUUUGCAGCAACAGUAUCUAGCUUUAGUGUCAGACAUGCAGAACUUGGUGCUUACUGAAACAAAAGAAAAGGAACACCAUCUAGCUUUAGUGUCAGGCAUGCACAACUUGGUGCUUAUUGAAACAAAAGAAAAGGAACACUGUGACUAGGUACAUCAAUAUCGUUAUUAUAAACAAAUUAAUUGUUUCUAGCUGUAAAAGUUUUUUAAACGACAAGACACGAUGUAAUAUUCUGGGGACGAUGCUUUGUAGCACAUAAACUUCUGGUUGAUGGCGUGUCUGACAUGUGUUUGUGUCUAACACCAACCCGACACGGACGCAUAUUAUUACUUUCAAAUAUAUUAUUUUCUCAAAUUUCAAUCACUAUCGACGAAUCAGUGUCAGUGUCGAGUUUGGUUUUCGUUAUGCAUAAUCCUUACCAACAUUUUGUUAUUUAUCUCCCUGUUCUAAUGGUUCAAAAUGUCGAAAUGAAGGUUCACAGAGUUUGCAACUGCUCAAAGUUCAACAAGUAGACUAUCUUAUUUUAAAUUUUAUCCACUUUAAGCUUACAAACUUGACAAUUUAUGUUAAAGUCUUCAUGAGGUAUUAUAAAAAUUUAAGAGAAGUCGGUAUGGUGGAUUGAAUCGAUCUUUUGAGUGAAAUAGUUAGUAGCCUAAACACAGUAUUAAUGGUUAAUGAAUAAAUUUUUGAAUAUUGCUCUGCAUUUUGUUGAUAAAGUUAAAUGUACUAUUAGUAGGUAUACAGAAAUCAUGACCCUGUAAAUGUACUGUACUAUCUCUCCCAAUGUCAUAUAAUUUCACAUAUGGAGAAAUUAAUAGCCCAUAUGCAUUUUUUAUCUUUUAUGUGAAGUAUAAAGUGCAUAUCGCUCAAAUUUCAUGAACACAUUUUACCAUAUCACACGAACAUUCUAUAGACGAAAUUAUGAGUUCAAUAAUAGUAACUUUUUUUUUUUUGACAAGUUCAAUAAUAUUAACUUAAAAUUAGGAGAUAAAGGUUUUAAAUAACGGUUGCGGUCGAGUAUAGGAUUUCACAAUUUCGGCCGUUACGAGUGUUGCGAUACGAAUUGCGGUUGUCACGGUGUGAAUUAAUCACAACAUUGCACAACUCUUAAAUCACAAUAGUAACUUAAAUAAUUUAAACUAAAGAAAGAUUUGGAGUUCUAAACUAUACAAGGAGAUAACACAAAUGAUGAAGAAAGUAGCAUACUAACAUUUCUAAUAUUACUAUACUAUUAUUCUGCUUCUUAAAUUUCCUAUUUUUGUCUGAUUUUGGAGUCCACAAAACAACUUCAUUUAUUUUUAUUUUAUAUAUACUGUUAUUUUACUCUCAUGAAGUAACAAAGAAAGAUUGCAUUUAUAGUAGUAAAAAUGAAAAAAUAUAAGAAGUCUAAUAAAUAACGAGAUACGAGGGCAAUGAAAAUAAAAGUGGUGGUACAAUUAUUGUGACUGGUCCACACAACAGCUAUAGAAAAGGGAGAAGGAAGUGUUGGAUAUAUAACAUUUACUCCCUUCAAGUUUAUUGAUCAUACACCAUGAAAUUGUACCGUCGUAUAUAUAAAUGUUAUUAUGUUAUUUUGACAAAAUUUAUGAAGCUAAAAAUUAUGUUAUAAAUUAUCUAAUUUUUUAUAUUAUUGAAAUGAUAAAGCAUAAUAAUAAAGGAAUUAAUAAUUUUUUAGUCUAAAAAGCUAUUAUAAAUAUUCGAAUUUUCUGUCGGUUUUUGGUUUGUGAUGGAAAGUGAAGUCCUUGGAACCUUUGGAUGUACAUUGUUAUGGAUGACUCAAAAUUUGGUGAUUUAAGAAAGCGAAGAAUCAUGACACGAUUUGACAUCCGUGUCACGAUAUCUGAUGUUGAAUGCAUGGUUGGUCCUGGAGGCAAAACGUGACACGAUUUUGGGAAAAUGUGACAAGAUUUUCGACUUGCUGGACUCGUUUUCAGGAUAAGGUUGGUCGUACCUUGGGUCGUACGCACCAACAUUGUCACGAUUUGGGAAAACGUGACAUGAUUAUGCCCGGAUCUGAACACUGCAUAUGCAUUCUAUGACCAAUUUGUUGGGUAAGCUUGGUGAAUCUCAUGGAAACUGUUAUCAUGGUUUUUGGGUGCCAAGCCAUUAAUUGGACUUGAACCUUUUGACCGUUGAUAUCCCUCUUUUUUCUUGGGAAGGGUAAAAGGAGAAAAACCCUUGAGUUUUCGGAUUCGGGGGUCGUUUUCGCUACGGGAAGGUGUUAGGCACCCGGAGCGAUUAUGGUAUUCCAUAAGAACCGCUUUCCUAAGUUUAUUUCUACGCUUUAAUUUUAUUGCUUAUUUGUAAAAAAGGAAGGUGUGAUUAGUUAAGAAUGGAGGUGAGAAGAAGUAGAAUUUGAUUUUUAUUUCGGCUUGGAUGAGUUUUGACUCAUUGCCUACGUACCGUUUUACGGGAUCAAAACCGGCGUAGUUCUUGCUAAAAAGACUUGUUUUUUUGUUUUAAUUGUUUGAUUUUAAGUUUUGAAAAUGGUUUUGAAGAAGGAGAUUGGGAGGCUUCAUGAGCAUUAGAUUUAGCAAAAAAGUGAGGUUUGAUUAGUGAUUAAAAAGAAAGUCUAAAUGAUUAAGAUGAAUUGAAUUUUUCUUAAGAAAAAAGAAAGGAAAAAAAAAAUGAAGUGUUGACUUCAUAUUUAUUAUGAAAAUUUUUUGAAGUGAAGUUCAAUUGUUUUUUUUUAAAAAAAGGAUGGAUUUUCUCUAAGUGUUUAAACCUAAACGCUUAUCUAACCAUACAAUCCUAUGCAUACAUCUAAGGUGAGUGUGUGCGUGUCGGUGCGUCAUAGUGUCCAUAGUCCAUAUUACAAAAAUUGCCUAAAUACAUUCUAUGGCCCCUUUGCCAAGCUACAAACCAAUGAUAACAAAUUACAUCACCAAAUGAGUUAAAACUUGCAAAGAGAAUAAAUGCUAAGCUAAAGAAAGUGGAAGAGAUAGUGGGAUGCUAUGAAAUGUAUGUCACAUGAGAUGAAAUGGUUAGUAAUCAUAAAGCAUGAAAUAGUAAGAAAUAAAUAAAAAGAGAUUGUAUAAGAAUAGCAAAAAAAGAAGUAAUAAAGUGGUAAAAACCUAUAAAAAAUUUGAUAUGAUACCUAAAUGUGCUUGUGACCCAUAAUCAUCACAUCAUGGCAAUUUUGAAAGAGAUUUAGUUUCAAGCCAUGAUGUGGAAUUAAUAGAGACACAUGCAAGCAAAGUAUCACACCAAAUUCAUAGAGGAAUUUGACACUUUAUCCCUUAAAACACACACUUGUUGCUUGCAAAACAAGAAAUUUACAAAAUCAUAUCCAAAAACCAGCAAGAAAGCACAUGACCAGAGGCAUAUUCAUCACAAGAUUGGGUAUCAUUUAUUCAUGUCACACAUCAAAGUGUCAAGAACAAAAACAUAACCAAAAUAAUACCCAAAAAUGUAAACACACAUGGAAAUUAAUUCAUGCCAUUUUACCAUUUUUUUUAUGCAAAAACACCAUAGAAAUACCAAAAAUAUAUCAAGAAACAAUCUAGGAUUUUUUUAGGAAUUUUUUUGUAAAAAAAGUGAGCAAGCAACAGGUGCAGAUAGCAAAGACAUAUGGUGCAGAUAGCAGGAAAAUAACAAAAAAACGUAAAAACCUAAGCCCAAACCAAAGCCCAAUACACAAAACUCAGAUUGCACAGGAGACGUUGGAUUGAUCUAGAGGCUGAGAAAGAAAGGAAAAAACCGAAAAUAAACCGGACCGGUUCAAAGCUCUAUAUAUAUGCUUCAAGUCCGGUUUUUUUCAUUUCUUUCUUUUCCUUCUCUCUCUUCUCCCCUCUAGUGAGAGAAGCUCUCACUUCUCUCUAAGAUUCCGGUCAUCUUCUCCGGCUAACUCCUCCGUUCCGGCGCGGCGGAUGGCGGCGGCGCCACCGUGCCGGAAAAUCAAACUGCUCCGAUUCGAGAAAUUUUUACAUUUUUAGAUAUCCUUUUUUAUAUACUUCUCGAAUCCGAACUUAGAUUUUUUCGAAAAAAGCUUGAAUCGGAGUAGAUCUGAGUUUGAAUCUUGACAAAAAAACUUAAGAAAACGGAAAGGAAAAGAGGGAGAACGACGGCGGUUACCUCACGAUUGCGAUGACUCUUGGCCUGGCGUUGUUGCUUCGUGUUUGUGUUUCUGUUGUUUCGCGUUCUGCUGCUGUGCUUCGUGUGCUUGCUUGCGUGUUUGCUCGCUCGCGCUUGCUUGCUCACGUUUGCUUGCUCUUUUGCUUGCUGUUUUUGCUUGCUGUUUUUCGGUUUCUUCUUCUUCCUUGCAGAUUCGGUUCCUUCUUCUUCUCCCACCGUGAUCGGUGCUUGAGUUCUUCACUUCCGGUGAGGAAUUCGCACCUUGUAUUGCGGUGGAAUCGAUUCGAUGAUGAAGAUUCGUACACGAAUCUCUGAGAAUUGAUGAUGAAUUUCGGUUAGGGUUCUUUUUUGUUCUUGAGAAAUUUCUGUUUUUGAUCUAACAGAAAAGAGAGAGAAAAUGGGAAUUUGUUUUUGGUGAUGUGUAUUGUAAUGAGUGGAUCUGAUCUAUGUGGCACUGUGAAUAGUAUUUAUAGCUGACAUGUGUGAGUGAUUGGACCAUUAGAAAGCUGACAUGUGGCAUUGGAAAAAAAAAAAGGCGCUGCCCUGUAAUUUUUGACUUGAAGGACCUGUUUGCAAUUUUGAAAGAAAUAGGGACUGGACUGAAAAAAUAAAAGUAAGGACUGAAAUGAAAUUAAAAAACUUUUUGGACAAAAAUGCAAUUUUGGAACCUCAAUUGAGGGACCAAAAUGUAAUUGAAAUAAAAUUGAAUAAAAAACGCAAUUUGACCAAACGUAAAGCGAAACAAAAGUAAAAUUGACAAAACGGACUAAAACGAACCAAUGGCCUAAAUGAGGUACUUCAAAGUAACCUCUCUAUGCCAAAAUUUUGUGUGAAAUGACCAAAAUGCCCCUAGGGCUAAAAAUGACCUAAACUGACUCAAACAGACUUGACACUGACUCAGAUGCAAGUUUGAAAUGAAUUUAACAAGAUUUACUGAUGAAAUGUUAAAAUCAAUCUGAAAAGACUCAGAGACAGUCGCAAGGAUGAAAAUGGGUCCCACUGCAGGAAAUGACCAAAAUACCCUUCUGUACGACUUUUUGCAAAUUUUGAAAUAAACUGUAGAAGAAAGCAAUGCAAUGAUUCAGAGACAUUUUUGAAUGACUUACAAGACAAGUAGAGACAUUUUGAAAGGUUUUAUGCAAGAAAAACAUAGGUAAAAUUGUGAUUGAAAAUACUGCGAAGCAGGGACAAUUUGAACUGUGCAGUUGAAAUUUGAUGAUUGACAAAGUUUGAAAUGAAAUUGGGCCCAGUAUUUUUAGGUCCAAAAACAGGGUAUAACAGCUGCCCCUAUUUAAGUUUCUUUGUCUGGAGAGUCAAGAGACGGAGUCUUUGGCUUGACAGGACGAAGAUACUUAAAUAUUAGCAUUUGCACUGUGUUUGGACGUAAAAAUACGCCUACCCAUUUUCAAAUAAUAUGCAUGCCAUGCAUCAUCUGGAUUAUGAAUGCAAGACCUCAUGGGGAUUGGAAUUAACAAAAUAUGUCGUAUCCAUUGCGGGAUUGGUAGACAUUGACAAAGAUAGUGAAUAGCAGAGUAACGGGAAACUAGAAACAAGUUGGACAGGUACAAGCUGUUCUUGGAUUCAAACUAGCCACUUGACCGGGGAUGAAACAAACAGACAACUGCGAGUUGUUCUUAUGGAUUCGAACUGGUCACUUCACAGGGGAUAGAGGUUACUGGACAAACACGAGUUGUUCUUAUGGAUUCGAACUGGUAACUCACUUGGGGAUGUUGGAAAGUGCGAGUUGUUCUUAUGGAUUCGAACUGGUGACUCGACUGAAAACAUGUAAAAUUGGCAGGUACGAGUUGUUCUUAGGGAUUCGAACUAGUUACUCGACUGAAAGCAAGGCAAAUAGACAGGUGCGAGCUUGUUCUUGGAUGCGAACUGGUUACUCCACCGGGCAGAAACAGAUAGACAGGUACAAGCUGCUCUUGGAUCGAGCUAGCCACUUGACCAAACGGAAACAUAUUGACAGGUACGAGCUGCUUUUGGAUUGAGCUGGGCACUCGACCGAUAACAUGAGCAAAUUGAUAGGUACAAGCUGUUCUUGGACUUGAACUAGCCACCUGACCAAACAGAAACAUAUUCACUGGGGAUUGGUUUGUUCUGACAAAAUAUAGAUUGAGAUUGACUUGACGUCGAUUUGAAUUGAAAGUUAGAAAUUGACUGAUAUUAUUGGCUCACAAGGUUUUGACAGAGAACCUGACAUGAGUAUUGAAUUGAGACUGAUGUUGACGUUGGAAAUGUGAUAUGCAUGGAUGAUAUAACAGUUUCAUUAAAUGCAUGGGCACGUAAUAUGCAUGAUUAUGCAUGUAUGAAUGCUUGUAAUGUAUGACUGUUGGCAGUUUGUAGGCACGACUUCACGGGGAAGACAAGACAUUAGAGUAUUGGGCACGUAGUGGCUCGUGCUAUAUGACACAUUCUUGGAAAUCCUCUUUGGAGAUGACGUCGUUGGGAGACGUUUCGGGACCUAGGCUGAGGGUGGGCAGGUAUGCAACUUGCUGGAGAUAGAAUCUUGGAAGACUUUACUGGGGAAAACGCCGUUGUGCUGGGCAUUUCAGUGCUGGGUACGUUGUAGACAUUGCAUCUGUGGUCAAUGCUUUUUGCAUGUUAUUUUCUCAACUUUCAUUCAUCAUUUUUUUAUCCCAUUUUUGCCUGGAUCGCCCUUUCGGGUUUUCGAUCCACCGGGGAAAUAAAUUCUUUUUAAUGCCCCUUUUUUGCCUGAACUGCCCUUUCGGGUCGUCAAUCCAGCGGGGUGCUCAUUUUUGCCUAAGCCGCCCUUCCGGGUUUUCGACUUAGCGAGCCUAUUUAUUUUCAUGCAUUUUCAUUCUGUUUUUUCAUUCUUGCCAUUGACCACAGACUAUCCUGGAGGAGAACCUGCUUGUAGCAUAUAUUGAAAUAGACAUUCACAUACCCUCGCUCAUGCAUGUUUCAUUUGAUUGUACCCUGUUGCUCAGGUUUGUUUUUCAAAAUAGACAAAAAGUUUUCAAUCUUCAAAAAUGUUUGUUUCAAGCAUUGUCAUUAUCAAAAUAGAAAGAAAAUGUUUUGUAUAUAGCUUUGAAAGUAGAAGAAAAUAGAAUUUCAAACAAAAGCACAAGCUCAAAUUGAUGUAUAAGAGUGGUGGUCAGCCAAAGGCGUGACUCCACGGAUUCACAAAGCUUGGAAAAUGGUAAUUUUAUUGGUUGGUGGUACAUUGAACACAGUAAUCACUACAUUUCUUAGAAACUUUGAAUCCACAAGUGCAGAAGCUUUUGAUGAAGACGGUCAUUAACAGCUGCAGAUGCCCCAAGGGGGACGGUGGUUGGCCAGAUAUAGUUACUUGCCUCUUGUUUCAAUCUCAUUUUUGCAUGAACCGCCCUUCCGGGUUUUCGGCUCAUCGAGACGCUCAUUCUUGCCUGAGUUGUAUACAAUCUCAGCGAGCUUUUCAUAUUUGUUUUUUGUCCCUUAUUUUGCCUGGACCGCCCUUUCGGGUUUUCGAUCCACCGGGAAGCGCAUUUUUGCCUAGGCCGCCCUUUCGGGUUUUCGACCUACCACGCUGUUCUUUUCAUAUUUUUAGGCAAAGUAUUUCUUGACUAUAUCGGCAUUCACUGGAUUUGGAAGUUCUACACCAUCCAUGUGUGUAAGGAUUAAAGCACCACCGGAGAAGGCCUUCUUGACAACAUAAGGACCUUCAUAGUUAGGUGUCCACUUGCCCCUUGGGUCGGGUUGCUGGCUUAUCCUUCUUUUCAAUACAAGUUCCCCUACCUUGAAUUCUCGAGGAUGAACUUUCUUGUCAAAAGCAGUCUUCAUUCUUGCUUGAUAUGAAUGUCCACGAGCCAUGGCAUCCAUACGUUUUUCCUCAAUCAAAUUCAACUGAUCAUACCGGCUUUGGCACCAUUCAGCCUCAGAUAACUUUGCUUCCAUGAUUACCCGGAGAGACGGGAUCUUCACUUCCAAAGGAAGAACUGCUUCCAUACCAUAUACAAGAGAAAAAGGGGUUGCCCCGGUUGAACUGCGCACUGUAGUACGGUAACCAUGCAGAGCAUAGGGUAACAUCUCAUGCCAGUCCUUGUAAGUGGUCACCAUCUUUUGGACAAUUCUCUUGAUAUUCUUGUUGGCGGCCUCAACUGCACCAUUCAUCUGAGGUCUAUAGGGAGAAGAGUUAUGAUGCUCAAUUUUGAAUUCUUCACAAAGAGCUUGCACCACAUUAUUGUUCAGGUUGGUACCAUUGUCGGUAAUAAUCUUGCUGGGAACACCAUAUCGACAGAUGAUGUUGUUUUUGAUGAACUUAGCUACCACUUGCUUGGUCACAUUGGUAUAAGAUGCUGCUUCAACCCACUUGGUGAAGUAGUCAAUUGCCACUAAGAUGAAACGAUGACCAUUUGAAGCCUUCGGUUCAAUUCUUCCAAUCAUGUCGAUGCCCCACAUUGAGAACGGCCCUGGGGAUGACAUAACAUUGAGAGCAUGCGGAGGCACAUGAAUCUUAUCAGCAUAGAUUUGACAUUUGUGGCAUUUUCUGGCGUAUUGGUAGCAAUCAUGCUCCAUGGUCAUCCAGUAGUAACCUGCUCGUAACAACUUCCUUGACAUAGUAUGCCCUGUAGCAUGGGUCCCGAAGGUACCGUCAUGUACAUCAUGCAUUAACUGCUCCGCUUCAUGUUCAUCAACACAUCUUAACAAUACCAUGUCAUAGUUUCUCUUGUACAGAAUAUCUCCAUCUAACAGGAAUCUACUGGCCAAUCUUCUCAAGGUCUUCUUGUCUUGCUUGGAAGCACCCGGCGGAUACUCACGGCUCAGCAAGAACUGUUUGAUGUCGUAGUACCAGGGUCUAUAGUCAACCACAUUUUCACCAGCCUGAUCGAUCACAUCCCCAAUAGCAAACACAUGCGAAGGUCUUUCGAGGCGUUGUACUUUGAUUAAUGGCACGUCAUUCCAAUGGUUUACUCGGAACAUGGAAGAUAGAGUAGCAAGAGCAUCAGCCAUUUGGUUCUCAUCACGAGGGAUAUGGUGCAACUCAACCUUUGUAAAAUAUGUCAGCAAACGUCUCGCAUAAUCACGAUAAGGAAUCAACUUAGCAUGAUGGGUCUCCCAUUCACCCUUUAUCUGAUUGAUGACGAGCGCGGAAUCUCCAUAGAUGUCGAGGUGUUUGAUUCUCAUGUCAAUUGCUUCCUCGAUCCCAAAAAUACAUGCUUCAUACUCAGCCAUGUUGUUGGUACAUUCAAACAGAAUUCGGGCGGUAAAAGGAAUGUGAUGCCCCUGCGGGGAUACAAUGACUGCCCCAAUUCCUUUACCAUAAGCAUUGACAGCACCAUCAAAGACUAAACCCCACUUGCUAUUGGGAUCUGGACCUUCAUCAAUCAACGGUUCUUCGCAGUCUUUGGAUUUCAAAUACAUGAUCUCUUCAUCAGGGAAAUCGAACUCAAUUGGUUGGUAAUCAUCAAGAGGUUGGUAAGCAAGAUGAUCGGCAAGAAUGCUACCUUUGAUUGCCUUUUGAGUUUUGAACACGAUAUCGUAUUCAGACAAAAGCAUCUGCCAGCGUGCAAUCUUCCCAGUAACAGCAGCUUUCUCGAAGAUAUACUUUAUCGGAUCCAUUUUGGAUAUCAACCAAGUUGUAUGAUUCACCAAAUAAUGACGCAGGCGUUUAGCGGCCCAGGCCAGAGCACAACAAGUCUUCUCGAGCAUUGUAUACCGAGUUUCACAGUCGGUGAACUUCUUGCUUAGAUAGUAGAUAGCGUGCUCUUUCUUUCCAGUUUCAUCUUGUUGACCAAGCACGCAUCCCAUGGAUUCAUCAAAUACUGCCAAAUACAUAAUCAAAGGCCUUCCUUCCACGGGUGGGACAAGGAUAGGUGGUUCCAGCAGGUAAUUCUUGAUGCUAUCAAAAGCUUCCUGGCAUUCAUCGUUCCAUACAAUAGGCUGAUUCUUGCUCAAGCAGUCGAGUGAUCUCAUAUGGUAUAUCAUCAUCCUCUUCAUCUUCGGCUUCAUACACAGGGAAUUCAAAAUUUGGAGGAACCGUAGGAUUACUGUGUUCAACGGGUUUAUUAUGGUUCAACCUGCAUAUAAUGAUUGGAUGAUUUUAGAAAGAGUUUUUUUUUCAUGCAGAUUUUUGAAAUUAAUAAGAAAAUACAGACGUUUUGGUUUUUUCUGGCAUUACCAUUGUUUCCAAGGGAAAAAGCACUAAAAAAAAAGUAGUCGUGGAAGAAACGACAAAAUUUUAUUAAUCAACGGCAAUGCCGAAACAAACAUGCCCUUACAGAAAAUAUCACUCUCGCUUUGGGCAGAGCGAGAGGAUUGUUAUUUUGAAAACAAAGCACUAAAGCAACAAGACACAUUACUCAGAAACAUGCAUGAUUGAAGGAAUGUCAAUGGCAUCCCAAUCCGUCGCAAUGCCUCCUGGUGUAACAAAUGCAGGCCUGAGACCAGAUCCAGUGGCUUCUUCAGAGAUAGCAUUAACAAACCCUGCACUGUGGAAGACUCCCGAGGAAACCCUUGAUGACGGGGAGAACCCGAGACCUUCUUUACGCUUGUUCUCACAGAGCUGUAUCACCUUGCCCCAUCCGGCAGUCUGACCUUCCUGGAUAACCUUCUGAGCAUCUUUCAAUGAAGCCAUAGCAGCCCCAGCUUUCUUAAGCUCCGCACCUUCAAUGGUCAAACCUUGGAAAGCAGUCCCUUCAGCAGACCCUGCUUCAAUACAAGAAAAGGAAGACAGCUGGCUGACUAAGUAUGCCUCUUCACCAUGAAUGGUAACGAGCUUUUCAUUCCUUACGAAUUUCAACUUCUGAUGUAAGGUAGAGGUUACCGCACCUGCAUCGUGUAUCCACGGUCUUCCCAGCAGGCAACUGUAGGAUGCAUUAAUGUCCAUCACUUGGAAGGUAACCAAGAAAUUCUCAGGGCCAAUGGUUAUCGGCAAGUCUAUCUCCCCCAGCACAUUCUUUCGAGAUCCGUCAAAAGCUUUGACCAAGAAAGUACUUCUCCUCAAAGGGACCCCACGGUAGCUCAACUGAUCUAGAGUUGUCUUGGGCAUUACAUUGAGAGAGGAACCGGUAUCCACCAACACAUUUGAUAUCAUAUCUGAUUCACAAUUCACCGAGAUGUGCAAAGCCAGAUUGUGACUCUUUCCCACUUCCGGCAACUCUUCUUCACUAAACCAGAGAUUGUUACAAGCAGUAAUUUUUCCCACUAUGCCACCAAACCGAUCUACCGUAACUUCGUGGUCAACAUAUGCCUGCUCCAGCACUUUCAACAAGGUAUUCCUGUGAGCCUCAGAGCUUAAGAGUAAUGACAAGACAGAUAUCUUUGAAGGAGUCUGCAGCAAUUGAUCAACGAUCUUGUAGUCGCUCCUCUUUAUUAUCCUCAGAAUCUCAUCUAAAUUCGAAUCCUCUAUAGAUUUGCCUGACUGGUUCGCAUCUGUAGCAAUAGGUGAAACAACGGUUGGAGUUGCUUCUUCAACUGGUGGAAUGGUCGGUGUAGCUACCUUCUGCUGGAAUAACGGCGGACGAACCUUCCCGCUUCUUAGUGCUGCAGAAGUCCCUUCGGCAAUAUUGCUUACUGUGGCAAAGGAGGCUAGAGGCACCUCUACUCCAUUUUCUAUCAAAGUAGCAUUGUACUUGUAUGGCACUGCCUUGUCCGAAACAUAAGGAAUUGGUCCUGGCAACCUUAUCACCAAAGGCUCAGCAUUCUUCUUCAAAGGUACACUCUUGACAGGCGGAUCGUGAAAAACUGGCACGACCACGCAAACAUCACUGACAGUCAGAAGAUUAUCAUCCAUCAAGCUUUGGAUGUCGUCUUGAACAGUAUAGCAGCCCAAAGGAUCACAGAGGCAUCCUAGACACUUGGCAUGAUCAUGGCUGAACAGAGAGGCUUUGCACAGCUUGACGUGCAGAGCAGAGGCACCAGAGGAGUGGCAACAUUGUGGACAUCAAGUCUAGGAUUUUCCUCACACACUUCGAUCAUAUUCACAGCGGCAUGAUUUGGUAGCGGAUUGUCGAGGACAUGUGGGACAUUAUUCUCAAAAGUCAGCUUCCCUUGAUCAAUGAGUUUCUUCACGAUAUACUUCAAAGCAUAACACCCCUCGACAUCAUGACCUAAGGCACCUUGAUGAAAGUCACAUUUGAGAUCAGACCUGAACCUUGGAGGCAACGGAUCAGGUGGUGGCUUGCCCUGUCUAGUUGUACAAUGACCUCUCUGGAGUAGAGUUGGAAGAAGUUCGGCAUACAACAUCGGUAUAGGAGGGAAGGUUGGUCUAGCAUAUUGCUGCUGCUGCUGUUGUUGUUGUUGUUGUUGAACCGGCAACUGUUGUUUCAUCUGUUGGGCAAUUGCAUUGACGGGCACUUGAGGCUGGCCCGGUGGCAAAGGGUACUGAUGAUAAAACGGUGGGAAGAAAGGAUGCUGAGAAUACGGCAUGUAUGGGUAUGACGGAGGCAUUUGGGCUGUAUUGAUAGGUGCAACAGUAGCCAUUGAUUGCCCGGCUCCAGCUGACACCAUCCCCACUUCCGUUUCUUUCUUCUUGUGGUGUCCAUUACCAUACCUCUUCGAUGCGCUCGUAGAAGAUUCAGCUUUCUCAAACACAAUGAUUCCAUCCCUGACGGCUUCCUCAAGACGGGUUCCCAUAGUGACCAUCUCCGAAAAGUUGUUCGGGGCAGCGAUGAUCAUCCUCUCAACAUAAUCUUUCUUCAAGGUCUUUAAGAACGUCUGGGUCAUUUCUUCUUCAUCUAAAGCAGGAGUGAUACGGGCAGCUGCCCCUCUCCACCUUUGCGCAUAUUCACGGAAACUUUCCUCCUUUUUCUGAGAUAGGGACCUGAGGAACUCCCUAUUCGGCUUCAAUCGAGUGUUAAACCCGUAGUGACUCCUGAAAGCGGUGGCUAGCUCAUCAAAGGUGUGGACAUCAUCUUUGCUCAGACUAGUAUACCACUCUGCAGCAUCUUCCAUCAGACUGUCUUGGAAGUAAUGGAUCAUAAGGGAAUCAUUGUCCUUGUAGUUGCCCAUCUUCCGGACAUAUUUGACAAUAUGAUUUUGAGGACAAGUCAGCCCGUUAUAUUUGUCGAACUCCGGGACUUUGAACUUUUUUGGAACAUCUACCUUCGAUACCAAGCAGAGAUCCUGGGUUUUAAUGGAGUCUCCAUUUCCCCUGUUGGCCUUAAUUUCCCGUCGGAGCUCUUUGGCAAGUUCUUCCAUUCUCUCUUCCAUAGUUCCGGUUGUGGCAAUACUCCCGUGGUGUGCAUUAGCAUGAACAAAUAGAGGCACCGCAUUCACAAUGGGCUCGGUAACAGUUGUUGCGGCUUGAGUCAAGGCGGUACUAACAGGAGUUAAGUUUGCCCCUGGGAUUUGGGCCAUUGUUGGUAGUACCAGAGGUCCCUGCCCCUGUAUUAGCAGUAUAGUACAGCGGAAGUCCGUAAGGAUACCCGGAUGGCAUGAUAGAGCGGGGAUCAGUUGUUACGGUAGGAGUCACAUUUGCAGCUGUAGAAACUACAGGAACUGGUUGUUCCUGAGCAGCCAACAGAGCAGUCAUAGCAUCAUGAGCUUUGGCCAAUUCCUCCCUUAGAGAUGCCAAUUCGGUACGAAGCUGUGUGUUCUCUUCUUCCAUAGCCCUUUUCUUUCUUCUGUAUUCUCUGGUUCGAUCGGUUCUAUCAGGUUCGUAAACUCUCUGAGCACGAGCCACUUUUCACACUGCGGCAGAGAAACCAGGAGGUGGUAAGCACUUGGAAGCCUUUGUGAUCAAUGCAUGAUGCAUAUGAUGCAUGAUAUGCAAAUGCAAAUGCGAAAGACUUAUUUUUUUUCAUCGAAGGAUUUUUAAACAAAUUAGAAAUCUUGCAAAUAAACAAAACUACAUAGUAUUCUCAACAGAAAGACUUUGAAAUAAACACAUGAAGCCCUCAAGCAUAGGAAGUAGUCGGAGGAUCAUCGGACUCGGAAUCUGAAUCACAGUAUCUGGUAAAGAAAUCUCGUCGUCCUCGAGCUCUCUUGGAAUCCCUCAUAAGCAGCUCAUCUUUCUCUUCCAAUUCCCUCCGGGCCUUAGCUAGCUCUUUCUUCAACAUUAGAUUCUCAUGAGUCUUCUGCUCAUCUCUACCAUCCAAAGUCAUGAUUAGAUUCUCGGCUUGAUUGUACCGAGCUUUCCACACUUGCUUCUCACGACUCUCCAUAGCUAGAUGCUCCUGAUACAUAUCCUGAGUCGCGGGGAGUAGAGGUAGAGGCAUAGAUGGAGUAGAUGAAGACACGUAUCUCAUAGCUGGAUAAGGCAUACCAAUCUCCUUAGCCCGAUCUAUUACCCACUGAGUAUAGGCUUCAUGAGCGACACCGGAUCUCACACCUAGAUGCUUCACACUUUUCCUUCGAACCUUGGACCAAGCAUCCACGAAAGCUUUCCUUUGUCCGGUAGGAGCAUUCGCAUAGAAGAAGAACUCUGGAGAUGUGGCAAGAUUGAUGGGCUUCGACUUCAUAGGAAAACCAAACUGUCUCAUAGCAAGCUCGGGGUUAUAGUUAAUUCCUCCACGAGUACCAAGAAGAGGUACGUUGAGAAAGUCUCCACAACCCAUGAUGAUUUCCUUCACCUGAGCGGCCGGAGUGAGCCAGACGACCUCGUCAGGAGUGAGGGCCAUAAUCCGCUGAGAGUAGGACCAAUUUUCCGAGUUGUCAUGGAAGGAACUCGGAAGGUGCGAAAUAAACCACCUAUACAAAAGAGAUGUGCAGCAAAGAAUAUACCCACGGCCCUUGAGAGUCCUGUCAUGAAUGGCGUGGUAGGUAUCCGCUAGCAAAGUAGGAACCGGGUUCUUGGAAUGAAAGAUCUCGAUAGCGUUCAUGUCCACGAAGUUGUCGAGGUUCGGAAAGAGAAUGAGCCCGUAGAUAAGCAAAGCAAGAAUAGCCUCGAGUGUGUCCUGACGAGUAGUACCGAGAUUAGCCUGAUCAAGAAGAUACUUCGAAGUGAAACCCCGGAUGUGAGACUUGGUAAUAAGAUGGUUGGAGACGUCGGAAGUCUUGAGGUAGAGAUCCUUAGCAAUAAUCAGAGGAGUAAGAGAAGUCCCGGGACCGGUGAAAGGCGUUUUCUCGGCUAUAGGUAAACCCACUAGAUUGGAGUAAGCCUCGAGAGUAGGAACCAACUGGAAGUCCGGGAAAGUGAAGCAACGGAAGCUCGGAUCAUAAAAUUGCACCAGAGUGUGCACUAGCUUCUCGUCUACAUCGGUUCGGAGCAAAGUAAGCAAUCCCCCAUACCGGAGUCGGAACCCUGUUUGACUCUUGACCUUGAGUGCCAACUCUCUCAAACUAACCAAAUCCACUUCCUUGAACUUGUAGCACUUUGUCUUCUUCAUACCUGUGAUUAUUUACAAAAAUUUCCAUUUGUUUAAACCCUUCGAUGAAUGCAUGAAAAAUGUUUAUGCAUGAAUGCAUGUAUGCAUGAUUGUGUUGUUUAGUUACAAUGUGGGUUGAGAUUCAAAGUAACAGGGCCACGGAUGGACACGGCGUCCGGUGAACUAAGGCUUUGGAUAGUAGUAACCAAGGUUCUAACACAGUUCCCAAACUGCAGCCUCUCUCACAUAUAUCAUGGUAGUACAGGACGACACCCGUUCCAUGAUUAUUUGUGAGAAGGUCUAGUUUGAGUGUAGUAUCGCGUGACGACUAAAGUUUGAGACAACACUCAAUUUAGCCACCGCACUACGUCCUAAAAAGGCUAGGAUGGGUUUGGUAACUACGGUUCAUAGCUUCGUCGAACAAUUGAAAGUGAAGUGCCUAAGCAUGACAACACACGCCGACAAUAUCACCUUCAAAAUGCCUCAGCUAUGUGAGAUUGAUCGCAUAAUCCAAUACACGAGGAAACCCCCGGAUCGAAUUGUCGAUUAUAUCUCUACCUAAACAUAAGUUCACUCAGCCCGGGUAUAGGACUUUUGAUAUUCUCACCCCACACGUCAAAUGAAAAUAAACAAGUAUCCACAUAUGUAAGCAAUAAAACAAAACGUAAAUAUAAACUAAGGAAAACUAGGCGCGACCCGCUAAAAAAAGAUCCCCAGUGAAGUCGCCAUUUCUGUUAUCAAGGUUUUUGGGUGCCAAGCCAUUAAUUGGACUUGAACCUUUUGACCGUUGAUAUCCCUCUUUUUUCUUGGGAAGGGUAAAAGGAGAAAAACCCUUGAGUUUCCGGAUUCGGGGGUCGUUUUCGCUACGGGAAGGUGUUAGGCACCCGGAGCGAUUAUGGUAUUCCAUAAGAACCGCUUUCCUAAGUUUAUUUCUACGUGUUAUACCCUGUUUUUGGACCUAAAAAUACUGGGCCCAAUUUCAUUUCAAACUUUGUCAAUUAUCAAAUUUCAACUGCACAGUUCAAAUUGUCUCUGCCUCGCAGUAUUUUCAAUCACAAUUUUACCUAUGUUUUUCUUGCAUAAAACCUUUCGAAAUGUCUUUACUUGUCUUGUAAGUCAUUCAAAAGUGUCUCUGAAUCAUUACAUUGCUUUUUCUACAGUUUAUUUCAAAAUUUGCAAAAAGUCGUACAGAAGGGUAUUUUGGUCAUUUCCUGCAGUGGGACCCAUUUUCAUCCUUGUGACUGUCUCUGAGUCUUUUCAGAUUGAUUUUUAACAUUUCAUCAGUAAACCUUGUUAAAUUCAUUUCAAACUUGCAUCUGAGUCAGUGUCAAGUCAAUUUGAAUCUGUUUAGGUCAUUUUUAGCCCUAGGGGCAUUUUGGUCAUUUCACACAAAAUUUCGGCAUAGAGAGGUUACUUUGAAGUACCUCAUUUAAGCCAUUGGUUCGUUUUAGUCCGUUUUGUCAGUUUUAUUUUUGUUUCACUUUACGUUUGGUCAAAUUACGUUUUUUAUUCAAAUUUUAUUUUUUAUUGCAUUUUGGUCCCUCAAUUGAGGUCCCAAAAUUGCAUUUUUGUCCAAACUGUUUUUUAUUUUAUUUUAUUUCAUUUCAAGCUUUUUUAAUUUUGCAGUUUAGUCCUCAAUUUCUUUGUUUUUGCAGAAAGGUCCAGAAUCCAUUUUAAGUCCAAGCCGUGCCAUCUUCAUACAAAUCCAGGUGUCACUAUCCUAUUGGUUCCAAUGCACACAUGUCAGCUAUAAAAGCAUUGAGUCAGAAUCAGAAGCAUAUGAUUACACGCCAACUCAUAAACACAAAUACAAUUUUCUUUUUCUCAGCAACUGAAUCAAAACAGGAAAAUUUCUCAGAUUCAUCAAGAACACCAAGAACAAAAACCCUAACCGUUUUUCCAGAAAGCAAGAAUCAUCAAAAUUCGUUGGAUUUUCCAUUGAUUCUCAGAGAUUCCUUAGGAAUCAUCAUCAUUGAAUCAUCUCCUUCGCAAUUCAAGGCACGGAUUCACUGCAGAAGCAGCAAAUUCCAGUACCGAUCACGAAGAAGGUUCAGCGAGAAGAAGAGGGAAAGAAACAAGGUUCUAAACCGGCGAAGAAGAUGAAGAAACAGAACCGGUGAAUCACCGAUUUAUUUUCGGUCCAAAGAACAAGCAGAAGCAUCAAAAAUCAGCAAGAACAGAAUCAAGUUUUCUGAAGAAUCUCACAAAAUCUCCAAUCAAAAAUUUCAGGUAAAACUCAGAAUCUUUUUUAAAAAAGUAUAAUAUCACAGUUGAACCUGUAAAAACAUGCAAGCGACACAGAUCUAAGAUUUCCAGAAUUCAAAAGCGAAGCCGUAACCGUAAACACAAAACCUAGAUCCAUAAGGAUCUAAGUUUUGAAAGCAAGAACGAAUACCAGAAAAGUAAUCAAGCGACGAAACGAUGUAGAUCUUUAAAGAUCUAAAUGUUUUUGUUCAAAAAUCAAAGAAAACAUUCAAGACCGUAUGAAAUUUCCUAGAUCUGCGUCGUUUCAAGCUGUUUUUGAAAAGAUAAUUGCCAGAUUCUUGAUUAGGGUUUAAAAACGAAUGGAUUGGUGAAGAAAUUUUGGCAUUCUGGAAAUUUUAGGUCACCGGAGUUCAUGAACUCGCCGGAGAAGAUGAAGCUUCCGGCGGACCUUCAAGGUCUCCGCCGUGGCUUCAUCCUCACCGGCGGUGAGGGUUAGAGAGAGGCGAGAGAAGCGGUGAAGCUUAGAGAGAGAAAGAGAUGGAAGAAAUGGACUGGACCGGCGUCUACGUCCUUAUAUAGACGUUUGAACCGGUCCGGUUUAUUUUGCUUCCAUUUUGAACCGUAGGAUCUAGGGUUUCUUUUGUUGAAUGGCUGUGAUGCGUUGUUACUGUAUGCUUGAUUUACGUUACCAUGCGCUGCGUGUUUUGAACCGUUAGAUCUGGAUCCGGAUCAAUCCAACGCCUCUGAGGCCUUUGGAUGAUCCAGGUCCAGUCUGUUUUGGGUUUUGGUUUGGGCCUCAGUUUUCUUUCACGUUUUUUUUUGCUUUUUUUACUAUUUGCACUGUUUUUUUUUGCUACCUGCACCUAUGUCUUGAUUAAAAUUGUGAUAAAUUUCCUAGAAAAAUUCAUACAUGUUUCUUGAUAUUUUCUUAGUGUUUUUAUGACAUUUUUGCACAUUAAGGAUCUAUGAAAUUUUUGUAUAAUUAAUUCAUAGCAUUUUAAUUCUCUUUGAAUUAUUUGUUAUGGAUUCUUCUUCACACAUUUGUCCUUGAUGUGAGAAUAUGUAAUAAAAGCUACUUGACGUGUUAAUAUGAGAGAUUUGUGCCUAUAAUUUCAUGUUGAUUUGCUGUUUUGAUUUGGUUCAUAAGUUCUUGAUUUUAUGAACAAUAUAUGCAUAUUUUGAAAGAUAUAAAAUGCCAAGUUUAUUCUAGAAAAUAUGGCAUGAAACCAUGCUUGCAUGUUUCCAAUAAUUCCAUGCUAUAACUUGAGAUAAAGAAAACUCUUUCAAAAUUUGUUAAAGCAUGAGAAUUAGAGGCCAAGAAUGCUUUAGGUUUCAUACCUAAGCUUUUAGGGUUUAAUGUCAUUUUGUUAACUUUUUGUGCCAUCUUGCAUGCUUUUAUUUCUUAGUACUUGUUAUGUUUUUUUUUUUCACUAACAAGUUUACGUUGGUACUUCAUACAUAUCAUUUAGCAUUCCCUCCACUUUCUUUAGCCUAGCAUUUAUCUUUUGCAAGUUUUAAUUCAUUUGGUAAUGUAAUUUGUUAUCAUUGGUUUGUAGCUUGGCAAAGGGGCCAUAGAAUGUAUUUAGGCAAUUUUUGUAAUAUGGACUAUGGACACUAUGAUGCACCGACACGCACACACUCACCUUAGAUGUAUGCAUAGGAUUGUAUGGUUAAAUAAGCGUUUAGGUUUUAAACACUUAGAGAAAAUCCAUCUUUUUUUUCAAAAAAAACAAUUGAACUUCACUUCAAAAAUUUUCAUAAUAAAUAUGAAGUCAACACUUCAUUUUUUUUUCCUUUCUUUUUUUUUCUUAAGAAAAAUUCAAUUCAUCUUAAUCAUUUAGACUUUCUUUUCAAUCACCAAUCAAACCUCACUUUUUUGCUAAAACUCAUGCUCAUGAAGCCUCCCAAUCUCCUUCUUCAAAACCAUUUUCAAAACUAAAAAUCAAACAAUUAAAACGAAAAAACAAGUCUUUUUAGCAAGAACUACGCCGGUUUUGAUCCUGUAAAACGGUACGUAGGCAAUGAGUCAAAACUCAUCCAAGCCGAAAUAAAAAAACAAAUUCUACUUCUUCUCACCCCCAUUCUUCACUAAUCAUACUUUCUUUUUUACAAAUAAGCAAUAAAACUAAAGCGUAGAAAUAAACUUAGGAAAGCGGUUCUUAUGGAAUACCAUAAUCGCUCCGGGUGCCUAACACCUUCCCGUAGCGAAAACGACCCCCGAACUUAGAAUCUAAGGGUUUUUUCUCAAUUUUGCCCUUCCCAAGAAAAAAUAGAGAUAUCAACGGUCGAAAGGUUCAAGUCCAAUUAAUGGCUUGGCACCCAAAAACCAUGAUAACGGAAAUGGCGACUUCACUGGGGAUUGUUUUUAGCGGGUCGCGCCUAGUUUUCCUUAGUUUAUAUUUACGCUUUGUUUUAUUGCUUACAUAUGUGAAUACUUGUUUAUUUUCAUUUGACGUGUGGGGUGAGAAUAUCAAAAGUCCUAUACCCGGGCUGAGUGAACUUAUGUUUAGGUAGAGAUAUAAUCGACAAUUCGAUCCGGGGGUUGCCUCGUGUAUUGGAUUAUGCGAUCAAUCUCACAUAGCUGAGGCAUUUUGAAGGUGAUAUUGUCGGCGUGUGUUGUCAUGCUUAGGCACUUCACUUUCAAUUGUUCGACGAAGCUAUGAACCGUAGUUACCAAACCCAUCCUAGCCUUUUUAGGACGUAGUGCGGUGGCUAAAUUGAGUGUUGUCUCAAACUUUAGUCGUCACGCGAUACUACACUCAAACUAGACCUUCUCACAAAUAAUCAUGGAACGGGUGUCGUCCUGUACUACCAUGAUAUAUGUGAGAGAGGUUGCAGUUUGGGAACUAUGUUAGAACCGUGGUUACUAUUAUCUAAAGCCUUAGUUCACCGGACGCCGUGUCCAUCCGUGGUCUUGUUACUUUGAAUCUCAACCCACAUUGUAACUAAACAACACAAUCAUGCAUACAUGCAUUCAUGCAUAAACAUUUUUCAUGCAUUCAUCGAAGGGUUUAAACAAAUGGAAAUUUUUGUAAAUAAUCACAGGUAUGAAGAAGACUAAGUGCUACAAGUUCAAGGAAGUGGAUUUGGUUAGUUUAAGAGAGUUGGCACUCAAGGUCAAGAGUCAAACAGGGUUCCGACUCCGAUAUGGGGGAUUGCUUACUUUGCUCCGAACCGAUGUGGACGAGAAGCUAGUGCACACUCUAGUUGCAUUUUAUGAUCCAAGCUUCCGUUGCUUCACUUUUCCGGACUUCCAGUUGGUUCCUACUCUCGAGGCUUACUCCAAUCUAGUGGGUUUACCUAUAGCCGAGAAGACGCCUUUCACCGGUCCCGGGACUUCUCUUACUCCUCUGGUUAUUGCUAAGGAUCUCUACCUCAAGACUUCCGACGUCUCCAACCAUCUUAUUACCAAGUCUCACAUCCGGGGGUUCACUUCAAAGUAUCUUCUUGAUCAAGCUAAUCUCAGUACUACUUGUCAGGAUACGCUCGAGGCUAUUCUUGCUUUGCUUAUCUACGGGCUCAUUCUCUUUCCGAACCUCGACAACUUCGUGGACAUGAAUGUUAUCGAGAUCUUCCAUUCCAAGAACCCGGUUCCUACUUUGCUAGCGGAUACCUACCACGCCAUUCAUGACAGGACUCUCAAGGGCCGUGGGUAUAUUCUUUGCUGCAUAUCUCUUUUGUAUAGGUGGUUUAUUUCGCACCUUCCGAGUUCCUUCCAUGAUAACUCGGAGAACUGGUCCUACUCGCAGCGGAUUAUGGCCCUCACUCCUAAUGAGGUCGUCUGGCUCACUCCUGCCGCUCAAGUGAAGGAAAUCAUUAUGGGUUGUGGAGACUUUCUCAAUGUACCUCUUCUUGGUACCCGUGGAGGAAUCAACUACAAUCCCGAGCUUGCUAUGAGACAGUUUGGUUUCCCUAUGAAGUCGAAGCCCAUCAAUCUUGCUACAUCUCCAGAGUUCUUCUUCUACACGAAUGCUCCUACCGGACAAAGGAAAGCUUUCAUGGAUGCUUGGUCCAAGGUUCGAAGGAAGAGUGUGAAGCAUCUAGGUGUGAGAUCCGGUGUUGCUCAUGAGGCCUAUACUCAGUGGGUGAUAGAUCGAGCUGAGGAGAUUGGUAUGCCUUAUCCAGCUAUGAGAUACGUGUCUUCAUCCACUCCGUCUAUGCCUCUACCUCUGCUUCCCGCAACUCAGGAUAUGUAUCAGGAGCAUCUAGCUAUGGAGAGUCGUGAGAAGCAAGUGUGGAAAGCUCGGUACAAUCAAGCCGAGAAUCUAAUCAUGACUUUGGAUGGUAGAGAUGAGCAGAAGACUCAUGAGAAUCUAAUGUUGAAGAAAGAACUAGCUAAGGCCCGGAAGGAAUUGGAAGAGAAAGACGAGCUGCUUAUGAGGGAUUCCAAGAGAGCCAGAGGACGACGAGACUUCUUUGCUAGAUACUGUGAUUCAGAUUCCGAGUCCGAUGAUCUUCCGACUACUUCCUAUGCUUGAGAGCUUCAUUUGUUUACCUUGUUGAAAAUGUUGUGUAAUUUUGUUUAUUUGCAAGAUUUCUAAUUUGUUUAAAAAUCCUUCGAUGAAAAAACAGGUCUUUUGCAUUUGCAUUUGCACAUCAUGCAUCAUAUGCAUCAUGCAUUGGUCACAAAGGCUUCCAAGUGCUCACUAGCUCCUGGUUUCUCUGCCGCAGUGUGAAAAGUGGCUCGUGCUCAGAGAGUUUACGAACCGGAUAGAACCAAUCAAACCAGAGAAUACAGAAGAAGGAAAAAGGCUAUGGAAGAAGAGAACACGCAGCUCCGUACCGAGUUAACUUCUCUGAGGGAAGAAUUGGCUAAGGUCAAUGACACCAUGACUGCUCUGCUAGCCGCCCAGGAACAAUCAUCCACCGGUUCACCAACAACGACAGCAGCAACAAGCUAGACCUACCUUUCCUCUGAUACCAAUGCUAUAUGCUGAGUUGCUCCCGACUCUACUUCUCAGAGGGCACUGCGCAAUCAGACAGGGGAAGCCUCCACCUGAUCCGUUACCUCCCAGGUUCCGGUCUGACCUCAAAUGUGAUUUCCAUCAAGGUGCUCUGGGUCAUGAUGUCGAAGGAUGCUAUGCUUUGAAAUACAUUGUGAAGAAGCUCAUUAACCAAGGAAAGUUGACUUUUGAGAACAACGUCCCUCAUGUCCUCGACAACCCUCUUCCAAAUCACGCUGCUGUGAACAUGAUUGAGGUAUAUGAGGAAGCUCCCGGACUUGACGUCCGUAAUGUUACAACUCCUCUGGUGCCACUACACAUCAAGUUAUGCCAAGCCUCUCUGUUUGACCAUGAUCAUGCCAAUUGCCAAGAAUGAUUCUGUAAUCCUUUGGGUUGCUGCGUUGUUUAAAAUGACAUCCAGAGCUUGAUGAACAACAAUUAUUUGACUGUCAGCGACGUCUGUGUGAUUGUGCCAGUCUUUCAUGAUCCGCCCGUCAAGAGCGUGCCUUCAAAAGAGAAUGUUGAGCCUCUAGUGAUAAGGCUGCCCGAACCAGUACCUUAUACUUCUACAAAGGCUAUUCCUUACAAGUACAAUGCCACAUGAAUCUUCUACAGUGCUGAGUUAUCAAUGCAAUUACUGAAGAGGCGACUGGAUGUAGUCCUAGGCCUAUGUUUGUUAUACCAGGAGGCAUUGCGAGAAAUUGUGAUGCCAUCAACAUUCAUUCAAUCAUGCAUGUUUCCGAAUAAUGUGUCUUGUUGCUUAAGUGUUUUGUUUUUCAAAAUAACCAUCCUCUCGCUCUGCCCGAAGCGAAAGUGAUAUUUCUGGAAGGGCGUGUUUGUUUCGGCAUCGCCGUUAUCAACAAAAAUCGUCGUUUCUUUCACGACUUUUAUUUUUUAGUGAUUUUUUUUUUCUUGGAAAUAAUGGUAAUACCAGAAAAAACCAAAACAUCUUUAUUUUUCUUAUCAAUUUCAAAGAACUGCAUAAAAGAAAAAAAAACCAUUUUCUAAAAUCAUUCAACCAUUCUAUGCAGUUUGAACCAUAAUAAACCCGUUGAACACAGUAAUCCUACGGUUCUUCCAAAUUUUGAAUUCCCUGUGUAUGAAGCCGAAGAUGAAGAGGAUGAUGAUAUACCAUAUGAGAUCACUCGAUUGCUUGAGCAAGAAUCAGCCUAUUGUAUGGAACGAUGAAUGCCAGGAAGCUUUUGAUAGCAUCAAGAAUUACCUGCUGGAACCACCUAUCCUUGUCCCUCCCGUGGAAGGAAGGCCUUUGAUUUUGUAUUUGUCAGUGUUUGAUGAAUCUGUGGGAUGCGUGCUUGGUCAACGAGAUGAGACUGGAAAGAAAGAACAUGCUAUCUACUAUCUGAGCAAGAAGUUCACCGACUGUGAAACUCGGUAUACAAUGCUUGAGAAGACUUGUUGUGCUCUAGCUUGGGCUGCCAAAAGCCUGCGUCAUUAUUUGGUGAAUCAUACAACUUGGUUGAUAUCCAGAAUGGAUCCGAUAAAGUAUAUCUUUGAGAAAGCUGUUGUUACUGGGAAGAUUGCACGCUGGCAGAUGCUUUUGUCUGAAUAUGAUAUUGUGUUCAAAACUCAAAAGGCAAUCAAAGGUAGCAUUCUUGCCGAUCAUCUUGCCUACCAACCUCUUGAUGAUUAUCAACCAAUUGAAUUCGACUUCCCCGAUGAAGAAAUCAUGUAUUUGAAAUCAAAAGACUGCGAAGAACCGUUGAUUAAUGAAGGUCCAGAUCCCAAUAGCAGGUGCGGUUUAGUCUUUGAUGGUGCUGUCAAUGCUUAUGGUAAAGGAAUUGGGGCAGUCAUUGUAUCCCCGCAGGGGCAUCACAUCCCUUUUACCGCCCGAAUUUUGUUCGAAUGUACCAACAAUAUGGCUGAGUAUGAAGCAUGUAUCUUUGGGAUCGAGGAAGCAAUUGACAUGAGAAUCAAACACCUCGACAUCUAUGGAGAUUCUGCGCUCGUCAUCAAUCAGAUAAAGGGUGAAUGGGAGACCCACCAUGCUAAGUUGAUUCCUUAUCGUGAUUAUGCGAGACGUCUUCUGACAUAUUUUACAAAGGUUGAGCUGCACCAUAUUCCUCGUGAUGAGAACCAAAUGGCUGACGCUCUUGCUACUCUAUCUUCCAUGUUUCGAGUGAACCAUUGGAAUGAUGUGCCAAUAAUCAAAGUGCAACGCCUUGAAAGACCUUCGCAUGUGUUUGCUAUUGAGGAUGUAAUUGAUCAGGCUGGUGAAAAUGUGGUUGACUAUAGACCCUGGUACUACGACAUCAAACAGUUCUUGCUGAGCCGUGAGUAUCCGCCGGGUGCUUCCAAACAAGACAAGAAGACCUUGAGAAGAUUGGCCGGUAGAUUCCUGUUAGAUGGAGAUAUUCUGUACAAGAGGAACUAUGACAUGGUACUGUUGAGGUGUGUUGAUGAACAUGAAGCAGAGCAGUUAAUGCAUGAUAUACAUGACGGUACCUUCGGGACCCAUGCUACAGGGCAUACUAUGUCAAGGAAGUUGUUGCGAGCAGGUUACUACUGGAUGACUAUGGAGCAUGAUUGCUACCAGUACGCCAGAAAAUGCCACAAAUGUCAAAUCUAUGCUGAUAAGAUUCAUGUGCCUCCGCACGCUCUCAAUGUUAUGUCAUCCCCAUGGCCGUUCUCGAUGUGGGGCAUCGACAUGAUUGGAAGAAUUGAACCGAAGGCUUCAAAUGGUCAUCGUUUCAUCUUAGUGGCAAUUGACUACUUUACCAAAUGGGUUGAAGCAGCAUCUUAUACCAAUGUGACCAAGCAAGUGGUAGCUAAGUUCAUCAAGAACAAUAUCAUCUGUCGAUAUGGUGUUCCCAGCAAGAUCAUUACCGACGAUGGUACCAACCUGAACAACAAUGUGGUGCAAGCUCUUUGUGAAGAAUUCAAAAUUGAGCAUCAUAACUCUUCUCCUUAUAGACCUCAGAUGAAUGGUGCAGUUGAGGCCGCCAACAAGAAUAUCAAGAGAAUUGUCCAGAAGAUGGUAACCACUUACAAGGACUGGCAUGAGAUGUUACCCUAUGCUCUGCAUGGCUACCGUACUACCGUGCGCAGUUCAACCGGGGCAACCCCUUUCUCUCUUGUAUAUGGUAUGGAAGCAGUUCUUCCUUUGGAAGUGGAGAUCCCAUCUCUCCGUGUGAUAAUGGAAGCAAAGUUAUCUGAGGCUGAAUGGUGCCAAAGCCGGUAUGAUCAGUUGAAUUUGAUUGAGGAAAAACGUAUGGAUGCCAUGGCUCGUGGACAGUCAUAUCAAGCAAGAAUGAAGACUGCCUUUGACAAGAAAGUCCGUCCUCGAGAAUUCAAGGUAGGGGAACUUGUAUUGAAAAGGAGGGUAAGCCAGCAACCCGACCCAAGGGGCAAGUGGACGCCUAACUAUGAAGGUCCUUAUGUUGUCAAGAAGGCCUUCUCUGGUGGUGCUCUAAUCCUUACACACAUGGAUGGUGUAGAACUUCCAAAUCCAGUGAAUGCCGAUAUAGUCAAGAAAUACUUUGCCUAGAAAUAUGAAAAGAACAACGUGGUAGGUCGAAAACCCGAAAGGGCGGCCUAGGCAAAAAUGCGCUUCCCGGUGGAUCGAAAACCCGAAAGGGCGGUCCAGGCAAAAAUAAGGGACAAAAAAAUAUAUAUGAAAAAGCUCGCUGAGAUUGCAGGCAACUCAGGCAAGAAUGAGCGUCUCGAUGGAUCGAAAACCCGGAAGGGCGGUUCAUGCAAAAAUGAGAUUGAAACAAAAGGCAAGUAACUAUAUCUGGCCAACCACCGUCCCCCUUGGGGCAUCUGCAGCUGUUAAUGACCGUCUUCAUCAAAAGCUCCUAUGCUUGCGAAUUCAAAGUUUCUAGGAAAUGUCAUGAUUACUGUGUUCAAUGUACCACCAACCAAUAAAAUUACCAUUUUCCAAGCUUUGUAAAUCCGUGGAAUCACGCCUUUGGCUGACCACCACUCUUAUACGUCAAUUUGAGCUUGUGCUUUUGUUUGAAAACUCUAUUUUCUUCUACUUUCAAAGCUAUAUACAAAUCAUUUUCCUUCUAUUUUGAUAAUGACAAUGCUUGAAACAAACAUUUUUGAAAAUUGAAAACUUUUUGUCUAUUUUGAAAAGCAAACCUGAGCAACAGGGUACAAUCAAAUGAAACAUGCAUGAGCGAGGGUAUGUGAAUGUCUAUUUCAAUAUAUGCUACAAGCAGGUUCUCCUUCAGGAUAGUCUGUGGUCAAUGGCAAGAAUGAAAAAACAGAAUGAAAAUGCAUGAAAAUAAAUGAGCUCGCUAAGUUGAAAACCCGGAAGGGCGGCUUAGGCAAAAAUGAGCACCCUGCUGGAUUGACAACCCGAAAGGGCAGUUCAGGCAAAAAUGGGGCAUUGAAAAGAAUUUAUUUCCCCGAUGGAUCGAAAACCCGAAAGGGCGAUCCAGGCAAAAAUGGGAUGAAAAAAAAAUGAUGAAUGAAAAUUGAGAAAAUAACAUGCAAAAAGCGUUGACCACAGAUACGAUGUCCACGAUACAUCCGGCAUUAUCCCCAGUAAAGUCUCUCAAGAUUCUAUCCCCAGCAAGUUGCAUACCUACCUGCCCUCAGCCAUGGUUCCAAUACGUCUCCCAACGACGUCGUCUCCAAAGAGGAUUUCCAAGAAUGUGUAAUAUAGCACGAGCCACUACGUGCCCAAUACUCUGAUGUCUUGUCUUCCCCGUGAAGUCGUGCCUACAAACUGCCAACAGUCAUGCAUUACAAGCAUUCAUACAUGCAUAAUCAUGCAUAUUACGUGCCCAUGCAUUUAAUGAAACUGUUAUAUCAUCCAUGAAUAUUGCAUUUCCAAUGUCAACAUCAGUCUCAAUUCAAUACUCAUGUCAGGUUCUCUGUCAAAACCUUGUAAGCCAAUAAUAUCAGUCAAUUUCUACCUUUCAAUUCGAAUCGACGUCAAGUCAAUCUCAAUCUAUAUUUUGUCAAAACCAAUCCCCAGUGAAUAUGUUUCUGUUUGGUCAAGUGACUAGUUCAAGUCCAAGAACAGCUUGUACCUAUCAAUUUGCUUAUGUUAUCGGUCGAGUGCCCAGCUCAAUCCAAGAGCAGCUUGUACCCGUCUAUCUGUUUCUGUUCGCUCAAGUGGCUAGCUCGAUCCAAGAGCAGCUUGCGCCUGUCUAUUUUGUAUUUGUCUCCGGUGGAGUAACCAGUUCGCAUCCAAGAACAAGCUCGCACCUGUCUAUUUGCCUUGCUUUCAGUCGAGUAACCAGUUCGAAUCCAUAAGAACAACUCGUACUUGCCAAUUUUCUCUUUUUCCCAGUCGGGUCACCAGUUCGAAUCCAUAAGAACAACUCGCACUUUCCAAUAUCCCCAAGUGAGUUACCAGUUCGAAUCCAUAAGAACAACUCAUAUUUGUCCAGUAACCUCUAUCCCCUGUGAAGUGACCAGUUCGAAUCCAUAAGAACAACUCGCAGUUGUCUGUUUGUUUCAUCCCCGGUCAAGUGGCUAGUUUGAAUCCAAGAACAGCUUGUACCUGUCCAACUUGUUUCUAGUUUCCCGUUACUCUGCUAUUCACUAUCUUUGUCAAUGUCUACCAAUCUCGCAAUGGAUACGACAUAUUUUGUUAAUUCCAAUCCCCAUGAGGUCUUGCAUUCAUAAUCCAAAUGAUGCAUGGCAUGCAUAUUAUUUGAAAAUGGGUAGGCGUAUUUUUACGUCCAAACACAGUGCAAAUGCUAAUAUUUAAGUAUCUUCGUCCUGUCAAGCCAAAGACUCCGUCUCUUGACUCUUCAGACAAAGAAACUUAAAUAGGGGCAGCUGUUAUACCCUGUUUUUGGACCUAAAAAUACUGGGCCCAAUUUCAUUUCAAACUUUGUCAAUUAUCAAAUUUCAACUGCACAGUUCAAAUUGUCUCUGCCUCGCAGUAUUUUCAAUCACAAUUUUACCUAUGUUUUUCUUGCAUAAAACCUUUCGAAAUGUCUUUACUUGUCUUGUAAGUCAUUCAAAAGUGUCUCUGAAUCAUUACAUUGCUUUUUCUACAGUUUAUUUCAAAAUUUGCAAAAAGUCGUACAGAAGGGUAUUUUGGUCAUUUCCUGCAGUGGGACCCAUUUUCAUCCUUGUGACUGUCUCUGAGUCUUUUCAGAUUGAUUUUUAACAUUUCAUCAGUAAACCUUGUUAAAUUCAUUUCAAACUUGCAUCUGAGUCAGUGUCAAGUCAAUUUGAAUCUGUUUAGGUCAUUUUUAGCCCUAGGGGCAUUUUGGUCAUUUCACACAAAAUUUCGGCAUAGAGAGGUUACUUUGAAGUACCUCAUUUAAGCCAUUGGUUCGUUUUAGUCCGUUUUGUCAGUUUUAUUUUUGUUUCACUUUACGUUUGGUCAAAUUACGUUUUUUAUUCAAAUUUUAUUUUUUAUUGCAUUUUGGUCCCUCAAUUGAGGUCCCAAAAUUGCAUUUUUGUCCAAACUGUUUUUUUUUUUAUUUUAUUUCAUUUCAAGCUUUUUUAAUUUUGCAGUUUAGUCCUCAAUUUCUUUGUUUUUGCAGAAAGGUCCAGAAUCCAUUUUAAGUCCAAGCCGUGCCAUCUUCAUACAAAUCCAGGUGUCACUAUCCUAUUGGUUCCAAUGCACACAUGUCAGCUAUAAAAGCAUUGAGUCAGAAUCAGAAGCAUAUGAUUACACGCCAACUCAUAAACACAAAUACAAUUUUCUUUUUCUCAGCAACUGAAUCAAAACAGGAAAAUUUCUCAGAUUCAUCAAGAACACCAAGAACAAAAACCCUAACCGUUUUUCCAGAAAGCAAGAAUCAUCAAAAUUCGUUGGAUUUUCCAUUGAUUCUCAGAGAUUCCUUAGGAAUCAUCAUCAUUGAAUCAUCUCCUUCGCAAUUCAAGGCACGGAUUCACUGCAGAAGCAGCAAAUUCCAGUACCGAUCACGAAGAAGGUUCAGCGAGAAGAAGAGGGAAAGAAACAAGGUUCUAAACCGGCGAAGAAGAUGAAGAAACAGAACCGGUGAAUCACCGAUUUAUUUUCGGUCCAAAGAACAAGCAGAAGCAUCAAAAAUCAGCAAGAACAGAAUCAAGUUUUCUGAAGAAUCUCACAAAAUCUCCAAUCAAAAAUUUCAGGUAAAACUCAGAAUCUUUUUUAAAAAAGUAUAAUAUCACAGUUGAACCUGUAAAAACAUGCAAGCGACACAGAUCUAAGAUUUCCAGAAUUCAAAAGCGAAGCCGUAACCGUAAACACAAAACCUAGAUCCAUAAGGAUCUAAGUUUUGAAAGCAAGAACGAAUACCAGAAAAGUAAUCAAGCGACGAAACGAUGUAGAUCUUUAAAGAUCUAAAUGUUUUUGUUCAAAAAUCAAAGAAAACAUUUCAAGACCGUAUGAAAUUUCCUAGAUCUGCGUCGUUUCAAGCUGUUUUUGAAAAGAUAAUUGCCAGAUUCUUGAUUAGGGUUUAAAAACGAAUGGAUUGGUGAAGAAAUUUUGGCAUUCUGGAAAUUUUAGGUCACCGGAGUUCAUGAACUCGCCGGAGAAGAUGAAGCUUCCGGCGGACCUUCAAGGUCUCCGCCGUGGCUUCAUCCUCACCGGCGGUGAGGGUUAGAGAGAGGCGAGAGAAGCGGUGAAGCUUAGAGAGAGAAAGAGAUGGAAGAAAUGGACUGGACCGGCGUCUACGUCCUUAUAUAGACGUUUGAACCGGUCCGGUUUAUUUUGCUUCCAUUUUGAACCGUAGGAUCUAGGGUUUCUUUUGUUGAAUGGCUGUGAUGCGUUGUUACUGUAUGCUUGAUUUACGUUACCAUGCGCUGCGUGUUUUGAACCGUUAGAUCUGGAUCCGGAUCAAUCCAACGCCUCUGAGGCCUUUGGAUGAUCCAGGUCCAGUCUGUUUUGGGUUUUGGUUUGGGCCUCAGUUUUCUUUCACGUUUUUUUUUGCUUUUUUUACUAUUUGCACUGUUUUUUUUUGCUACCUGCACCUAUGUCUUGAUUAAAAUUGUGAUAAAUUUCCUAGAAAAAUUCAUACAUGUUUCUUGAUAUUUUCUUAGUGUUUUUAUGACAUUUUUGCACAUUAAGGAUCUAUGAAAUUUUUGUAUAAUUAAUUCAUAGCAUUUUAAUUCUCUUUGAAUUAUUUGUUAUGGAUUCUUCUUCACACAUUUGUCCUUGAUGUGAGAAUAUGUAAUAAAAGCUACUUGACGUGUUAAUAUGAGAGAUUUGUGCCUAUAAUUUCAUGUUGAUUUGCUGUUUUGAUUUGGUUCAUAAGUUCUUGAUUUUAUGAACAAUAUAUGCAUAUUUUGAAAGAUAUAAAAUGCCAAGUUUAUUCUAGAAAAUAUGGCAUGAAACCAUGCUUGCAUGUUUCCAAUAAUUCCAUGCUAUAACUUGAGAUAAAGAAAACUCUUUCAAAAUUUGUUAAAGCAUGAGAAUUAGAGGCCAAGAAUGCUUUAGGUUUCAUACCUAAGCUUUUAGGGUUUAAUGUCAUUUUGUUAACUUUUUGUGCCAUCUUGCAUGCUUUUAUUUCUUAGUACUUGUUAUGUUUUUUUUUUUCACUAACAAGUUUACGUUGGUACUUCAUACAUAUCAUUUAGCAUUCCCUCCACUUUCUUUAGCCUAGCAUUUAUCUUUUGCAAGUUUUAAUUCAUUUGGUAAUGUAAUUUGUUAUCAUUGGUUUGUAGCUUGGCAAAGGGGCCAUAGAAUGUAUUUAGGCAAUUUUUGUAAUAUGGACUAUGGACACUAUGAUGCACCGACACGCACACACUCACCUUAGAUGUAUGCAUAGGAUUGUAUGGUUAAAUAAGCGUUUAGGUUUUAAACACUUAGAGAAAAUCCAUCUUUUUUUUCAAAAAAAACAAUUGAACUUCACUUCAAAAAUUUUCAUAAUAAAUAUGAAGUCAACACUUCAUUUUUUUUUCCUUUCUUUUUUUUUCUUAAGAAAAAUUCAAUUCAUCUUAAUCAUUUAGACUUUCUUUUCAAUCACCAAUCAAACCUCACUUUUUUGCUAAAACUCAUGCUCAUGAAGCCUCCCAAUCUCCUUCUUCAAAACCAUUUUCAAAACUAAAAAUCAAACAAUUAAAACGAAAAAACAAGUCUUUUUAGCAAGAACUACGCCGGUUUUGAUCCUGUAAAACGGUACGUAGGCAAUGAGUCAAAACUCAUCCAAGCCGAAAUAAAAAAACAAAUUCUACUUCUUCUCACCCCCAUUCUUCACUAAUCAUACUUUCUUUUUUACAAAUAAGCAAUAAAACUAAAGCGUAGAAAUAAACUUAGGAAAGCGGUUCUUAUGGAAUACCAUAAUCGCUCCGGGUGCCUAACACCUUCCCGUAGCGAAAACGACCCCCGAACUUAGAAUCUAAGGGUUUUUUCUCAAUUUUGCCCUUCCCAAGAAAAAAUAGAGAUAUCAACGGUCGAAAGGUUCAAGUCCAAUUAAUGGCUUGGCACCCAAAAACCAUGAUAACACUACGCUUUAAUUUUAUUGCUUAUUUGUAAAAAAGGAAGGUGUGAUUAGUUAAGAAUGGAGGUGAGAAGAAGUAGAAUUUGAUUUUUAUUUCGGCUUGGAUGAGUUUUGACUCAUUGCCUACGUACCGUUUUACGGGAUCAAAACCGGCGUAGUUCUUGCUAAAAAGACUUGUUUUUUUGUUUUAAUUGUUUGAUUUUAAGUUUUGAAAAUGGUUUUGAAGAAGGAGAUUGGGAGGCUUCAUGAGCAUUAGAUUUAGCAAAAAAGUGAGGUUUGAUUAGUGAUUAAAAAGAAAGUCUAAAUGAUUAAGAUGAAUUGAAUUUUUCUUAAGAAAAAAGAAAGGAAAAAAAAAAUGAAGUGUUGACUUCAUAUUUAUUAUGAAAUUUUUUUGAAGUGAAGUUCAAUUGUUUUUUUUUUAAAAAAGGAUGGAUUUUCUCUAAGUGUUUAAACCUAAACGCUUAUCUAACCAUACAAUCCUAUGCAUACAUCUAAGGUGAGUGUGUGCGUGUCGGUGCGUCAUAGUGUCCAUAGUCCAUAUUACAAAAAUUGCCUAAAUACAUUCUAUGGCCCCUUUGCCAAGCUACAAACCAAUGAUAACAAAUUACAUCACCAAAUGAGUUAAAACUUGCAAAGAGAAUAAAUGCUAAGCUAAAGAAAGUGGAAGAGAUAGUGGGAUGCUAUGAAAUGUAUGUCACAUGAGAUGAAAUGGUUAGUAAUCAUAAAGCAUGAAAUAGUAAGAAAUAAAUAAAAAGAGAUUGUAUAAGAAUAGCAAAAAAAGAAGUAAUAAAGUGGUAAAAACCUAUAAAAAAUUUGAUAUGAUACCUAAAUGUGCUUGUGACCCAUAAUCAUCACAUCAUGGCAAUUUUGAAAGAGAUUUAGUUUCAAGCCAUGAUGUGGAAUUAAUAGAGACACAUGCAAGCAAAGUAUCACACCAAAUUCAUAGAGGAAUUUGACACUUUAUCCCUUAAAACACACACUUGUUGCUUGCAAAACAAGAAAUUUACAAAAUCAUAUCCAAAAACCAGCAAGAAAGCACAUGACCAGAGACAUAUUCAUCACAAGAUUGGGUAUCAUUUAUUCAUGUCACACAUCAAAGUGUCAAGAACAAAAACAUAACCAAAAUAAUACCCAAAAAUGUAAACACACAUGGAAAUUAAUUCAUGCCAUUUUACCAUUUUUUUUAUGCAAAAACACCAUAGAAAUACCAAAAAUAUAUCAAGAAACAAUCUAGGAUUUUUUUAGGAAUUUUUUUGUAAAAAAAGUGAGCAAGCAACAGGUGCAGAUAGCAAAGACAUAUGGUGCAGAUAGCAGGAAAAUAACAAAAAAACGUAAAAACCUAAGCCCAAACCAAAGCCCAAUACACAAAACUCAGAUUGCACAGGAGACGUUGGAUUGAUCUAGAGGCUGAGAAAGAAAGGAAAAAACCGAAAAUAAACCGGACCGGUUCAAAGCUCUAUAUAUAUGCUUCAAGUCCGGUUUUUUUCAUUUCUUUCUUUUCCUUCUCUCUCUUCUCCCCUCUAGUGAGAGAAGCUCUCACUUCUCUCUAAGAUUCCGGUCAUCUUCUCCGGCUAACUCCUCCGUUCCGGCGCGGCGGAUGGCGGCGGCGCCACCGUGCCGGAAAAUCAAACUGCUCCGAUUCGAGAAAUUUUUACAUUUUUAGAUAUCCUUUUUUAUAUACUUCUCGAAUCCGAACUUAGAUUUUUUUCGAAAAAAGCUUGAAUCGGAGUAGAUCUGAGUUUGAAUCUUGACAAAAAAACUUAAGAAAACGGAAAGGAAAAGUGGGAGAACGACGGCGGUUACCUCACGAUUGCGAUGACUCUUGGCCUGGCGUUGUUGCUUCGUGUUUGUGUUUCUGUUGUUUCGCGUUCUGCUGCUGUGCUUCGUGUGCUUGCUUGCGUGUUUGCUCGCUCGCGCUUGCUUGCUCACGUUUGCUUGCUCUUUUGCUUGCUGUUUUUGCUUGCUGUUUUUCGGUUUCUUCUUCUUCCUUGCAGAUUCGGUUCCUUCUUCUUCUCCCACCGUGAUCGGUGCUUGAGUUCUUCACUUCCGGUGAGGAAUUCGCACCUUGUAUUGCGGUGGAAUCGAUUCGAUGAUGAAGAUUCGUACACGAAUCUCUGAGAAUUGAUGAUGAAUUUCGGUUAGGGUUCUUUUUUGUUCUUGAGAAAUUUCUGUUUUUGAUCUAACAGAAAAGAGAGAGAAAAUGGGAAUUUGUUUUUGGUGAUGUGUAUUGUAAUGAGUGGAUCUGAUCUAUGUGGCACUGUGAACAGUAUUUAUAGCUGACAUGUGUGAGUGAUUGGACCAUUAGAAAGCUGACAUGUGGCAUUGGAAAAAAAAAAAGGCGCUGCCCUGUAAUUUUUGACUUGAAGGACCUGUUUGCAAUUUUGAAAGAAAUAGGGACUGGACUGAAAAAAUAAAAGUAAGGACUGAAAUGAAAUUAAAAAACUUUUUGGACAAAAAUGCAAUUUUGGAACCUCAAUUGAGGGACCAAAAUGUAAUUGAAAUAAAAUUGAAUAAAAAACGCAAUUUGACCAAACGUAAAGCGAAACAAAAGUAAAAUUGACAAAACGGACUAAAACGAACCAAUGGCCUAAAUGAGGUACUUCAAAGUAACCUCUCUAUGCCAAAAUUUUGUGUGAAAUGACCAAAAUGCCCCUAGGGCUAAAAAUGACCUAAACUGACUCAAACAGACUUGACACUGACUCAGAUGCAAGUUUGAAAUGAAUUUAACAAGAUUUACUGAUGAAAUGUUAAAAUCAAUCUGAAAAGACUCAGAGACAGUCGCAAGGAUGAAAAUGGGUCCCACUGCAGGAAAUGACCAAAAUACCCUUCUGUACGACUUUUUGCAAAUUUUGAAAUAAACUGUAGAAGAAAGCAAUGCAAUGAUUCAGAGACAUUUUUGAAUGACUUACAAGACAAGUAGAGACAUUUUGAAAGGUUUUAUGCAAGAAAAACAUAGGUAAAAUUGUGAUUGAAAAUACUGCGAAGCAGGGACAAUUUGAACUGUGCAGUUGAAAUUUGAUGAUUGACAAAGUUUGAAAUGAAAUUGGGCCCAGUAUUUUUAGGUCCAAAAACAGGGUAUAACAGAAACCAAAGGAGAAAACUUUUAGGGUAUGUAGAUACUAAAGGUUGAGGGUCUUUGGGUGAGGUUCAAAGCUUCAAGAUGUGGAUCAUGGAUAACCAAAAGAGGGGGCUCUUGGGAAAAAGGUUGGUGCCUUUUGGGGAAGAUUCAUGGGAUGGGAAACACAUGAGUGGAGAGUCUAUUGAGAGCAACUUGGGUGAGCUUGUUGAAGCUAAUUUCUUGUAACUAAUUUUGUAUCUCUUUGUAAGAACUCAUUAUAGUGGAUUGGAGAGAUCAAUCUCUCCUCCAGAGUAGGUCAUUGUUGGACCGAACUGGAUGAACAUUUCUUGGUGUUGUUAUCUUUUCUCUACUCUUUUUAUCUUGUUUAUCUUUUGGUUAGAUUGUGGUUUUGCUAUGCACUUGUUUUCUAGACUAGAUCUAGAUUGUUGUUAUUGCUUGUGGUAAUUUACAUUUGGUUAUUGGUUGCCAUUGAUACUUGCUCCACGAAUCUAAAUUUCAUUGAUGUGAGGUUUGAAUUUGAGUCCGAAUUCACAACAUACAUGAUGUGGGAUAAUUCUUAGUCCAUAUUUUAGUUGUUUGCAUGGAGUUGAUAUGGAAAUGGAUUCCCAGAAAUAACAGCACCAAUCUAGUCCAUCCGAUUUAAAUCCAUAGCUGAGAUGGAUGGAAACUAAAUUAGUGAAUCUGUAAUCUGAACCAUCCUAUCAGAGAUUAACAACUGCGUAAAACUGUGGACUUUAAAUGUAUGGAAUCCAGGUCCAGUCGAUACUACUACUGUUGAAAGCACAACUUAAAGCAAAUGCGAGAUUCAAAUAAUAUGUCAUUUGAUGAUAUUUGAAAUGCAAAAUGUAUCUUAGUGGUGUAAUGGAGCUUCAUUUUAUUUAUUUUUACAUCGAUACGGUAGUAAAUGGGUUUAAGUAACAUGUGAAUGGGGUAUUUAACAUGUGGUUACAAAUUAUUUGAGAGGAUUUGAGAAACAGUAAUUUAUGAAUUUGAUAAUCUAUGUGGUUAAAGCUUAAUGAAGAAUCUACAAGAGGUGAGUCAAACUCCAAAUAUAAUACAAAAAUGUUACUAAUAAACACAAGAGUGAGUUAAAAAGUCUGUUAAAAUUGAUGCUUAGGAUUCAACUAGAUAGGCUCCUUAUAGGUUAUAGCAUUCUACCCAAUUUAAGGAGACAAAAAAAUUUACCUGUUUUUUUUUAGUUUUCUUUUUCUUCUUUUAAGACAUUCAUUGCUUUACUGAAAUUACAUGGAAGAAGGAUGAGAUGGUUACUUUACAUAAGAUAGGAAAUGGGAAAGAAGUUUCCAACUUGGAAAAAGUGUAAAAAAUAAAUAAAAGCAUGUGAUAAAAUUGGGGACAUAAUAUGAGAGAAAAUAAAUGAAAUGCAAAUCUACAUGGAAGAUGAGAAGGAAUUUCAGACAUGGUGGUAAAAUGUAAAGCCAAACUUGAGAAAAUAAAUGUUAAGUAACCUAAUCUUGUUAAAAUGAAAAUACGAUCAGAACUUUUUGAUGCAUUCAUUACCAACUUUCUUUAAUUAGAUGUUUGAAUGGAAGAGCUUGCAUUUAUUUUAAUUUCAUGUAGUUUAACACACUGAUUAAUUAAGUAACAAAGUGAAAAAUUACAUGCAACAGAAGAGUAAAAGUAGUUGAAAACUAAAUCAUGUUAAAAGUCUUGUACACUUAUAUUUAUUGUAUGAUUGGUCCACACGGCUAUAGGAAGUGGCCAGGAAGUGGUUAUAAAGUUAGUGAUCAAAGAUUUCACAUCAGUCAUCACAGACCACAAAAACUUACUCAUUCAUAUUCUGCAUUCUCAAACUCUUUUUUUUUUCAUCCAAUUUCUCACAAUUUUCAUGGCUAUGCAGUCUCCUUCCUCAUCCUCUUCAUUUUCUUAUGGAUUCACUUACCAAGUGUUCCUCAGUUUUAGGGGCACUGACACUCGGUACGGUUUUACGGGCAAUCUCUACAAGGCUCUUAUUGACAAGGGAAUCCAUACCUUCAUUGAUGACAAUGAUCUUCAAAGAGGAGAUGAAAUCACACCAUCACUCAUCAAGGCCAUUGAAGAAUCUAGAAUUUUUAUUCCUGUGUUUUCUAUCAACUAUGCCUCUUCAAAAUUUUGCUUGGACGAACUUGUUCACAUUAUUCAUUGCUAUAAGACAAAGGGUCGCCUCGUCUUGCCUAUUUUCUUUGGUGUGGAUCCUACUAAUGUGCGCCAUCAUACAUGUAGCUAUGGUGAAGCAUUGGCUGAGCAUGAAAAAAGGUUUCAAAAUGAUAAGGAUAACAUGGAGAGGUUGGAGCGAUGGAAAGUGGCUCUGAGCCAGGCUGCUAACUUGUCCGGCUACCAUGAUAGUCCUCCUCGGUACCCAACUUUACUUAAAUCCUAUUUUUCCCUUUUAUAUUUUAUUUCUUCAACUUCAAUUUCCCAAUAAUCUCAUCUUAAAGGUUAAAUGGGAAAUACCUUUCUUAUAUACGUUUUUAAACAAGUAUUAGUUAUUUAUAUGUUGAAAUAGUUAGAAAUGUAUAAUAUAUUAUGAGUACAUGGAUGUGAUUGUGAUGUUGUUAGUACAUACUAACUUAUCUUGUUGGACAUGAAUAGAUAUGAAUACAAGUUGAUUGGAGAGAUAGUCAAAUACAUCUCCAACAAGAUCAAUCGUCAGCCCUUACAUGUUGCUAAUUACCCUGUUGGAUUGCACUCUCGAGUACAAGAAGUGAAAUCGCUUCUUGAUGAGGGACCUGAUGAUGGGGUCCAUAUGGUUGGAAUUUAUGGGAUUGGAGGCUUGGGUAAAUCAGCACUUGCAAGAGCAAUCUAUAAUUUUGUUGCUGAUCAAUUUGAAGGUUUAUGUUUUCUUCAUGAUGUGAGAGAGAAUUCAGCUCAAAAUAACUUGAAACAUCUCCAAGAGAAGCUUCUUCUAAAAACAACUGGAUUGAAAAUCAAGUUAGAUCAUGUUUGUGAGGGGAUUCCAAUUAUAAAGGAAAGACUGUGUAGAAAUAAGAUUCUUUUGAUUCUCGAUGAUGUUGACGAUAUGGAGCAACUACAUGCUUUGGCUGGAGGACCUGAUUGGUUUGGCCAUGGAAGCAGGGUCAUCAUUACCACUCGAGACAAACAUUUACUGACCAGUCAUGAUAUAGAAAGAACAUAUGCAGUAGAGGGGUUGUAUGGGACAGAAGCUCUUGAAUUGUUGAGGUGGAUGGCUUUUAAAAAUAACAAAGUACCUUCAAGUUAUGAAGACAUUUUAAAUCGUGCAGUUUCAUAUGCUUCAGGUCUUCCCUUAGUUUUAGAGAUAGUGGGUUCCAACUUGUUUGGAAAGAGCAUAAAAGAAUGGAAGGGUACAUUAGAUGGAUAUGAAAAGAUUCCCAAUAAAAAGAUCCACGAGAUACUUAAAGUAAGCUAUGAUGCUUUGGAGGAAGAGCAGCAGAGUGUCUUUCUAGACAUUGCUUGUUGCUUCAAAGGAUGUGGAUGGGAGGAGUUUGAAGAUAUACUUCAUGUUCAUUAUGGCCAUUGCAUAACACAUCAUCUAGGAGUGUUGGCUGAAAAAUCUCUCAUUAAGAUUAGUACUUGUUACCAUUCGGGAUCUAUUGAUGUUGUAAGAGUACAUGACUUGAUAAAGGACAUGGGUAAAGAAGUCGUCCGACAAGAAUCACCUAAAGAUCCUGAAAAACGAAGUAGGUUAUGGCGUCAUGAAGAUAUAGUUCAUGUUAUAAAAGAAAACAUUGUGAGUAAGAUUGAUAUUUAUGUUCAAUUUGUUAUUUAGUUUAGAUACGACUUUGCAUUUUUAGGACUACAUAUGACCAUCUCAUACUAGUAUUUUUUUUUCACUUAAUUACAUAUAAAUUUCUCUAUAUCUUAUUGUUAUUGUGAUUGAUUAUGUUAUUUUUUUUUUUUUUUGUGUUAAAAGGGAACUAGUAAAAUUGAAAUGAUAAAUAUGAAUUUCCACUCCAUGGAAUCCGUAAUAGACCAGAAAGGAAAGGCCUUCAAAAAGAUGACAAAACUGAGAACACUUAUCAUUGAAAAUGGACAUUUUUCUGAAGGUCUCAAGUAUCUUCCAAGCAGUUUGAUAGUAUUGAAAUGGAAAGGAUGUUUAUCGGAGUCUCUAUCAUCUAGUAUUUUAAGCAAGGCAAGUGAAAUAACUUCAUUUUAUAAAAGUAUAUAUUUGUAAAUUUAUUAUGAUUUUGUUUCUGUCAACAAAAACAAUUCACUAUGAGAGUAUUGUGUUUGGUUUUGAAUUUAUUUAUUUGUUUCUUCCUUGUGUUUAUGCAGAAUUUCCAAAAUAUGAAAGUCUUGACAUUGGACGAUAAUGAAUAUUUAACCCACAUACCUGAUCUCUCAGGUCUUCAAAAUUUAGAAAAGUUCUCGUUUAAAUAUUGUGAGAAUUUAAUUACAAUUGACAAUUCGAUUGGACACCUAAAUAAACUUGAAAGGUUAAGUGCAUUUGGUUGCAGCAAGCUUGAACGUUUUCCACCUUUAGGUUUGGCAUCUCUUAAAGAAUUGAAUCUAUGUUGUUGUGAUAGUCUCAAGAGUUUUCCAAAAUUAUUAUGCGAGAUGACAAACAUAGACUGUAUUUGGUUGAAUUAUACUCCCAUAGGAGAAUUGCUAUCUUCAUUUCAAAAUCUGAGUGAACUUGAUGAGUUAUCAGUACGGGAAUGUGGAAUGCUGAAUGAUAAAAUGUAUUCUAUAAUGUUUUCAAAUGUGACAGAGCUUAGUCUCAAAGAUUGCAACCUCUCAGAUGAAUACCUCCAAAUAGUUCUUAAGUGGUGUGUUAAUGUUGAAGAACUAGAGUUAUCAAACAACAAUUUCAAAAUUCUUCCUGAGUGUCUUAGUGAAUGUCACCAUCUUAAGCAUCUUGAUUUGUCUUACUGCACAUCUCUUGAGGAAAUUAGAGGGAUUCCACCGAAUCUAAAAGAGCUUUCUGCAGAAGGAUGUAAAUCAUUGAGUUCAUCAAGUAGAAGAAUGUUAAUGAGUCAGGUUUGUUGUUGUUUUUUAUUGCACUAUAGUAUUUGACAUCUUUUAUUGUAUUUCAUAUAUAUAUAUAUAUUUGAUAAUGUGUAAUAUAUAUUUAUAUUUCAUAUAAACCAACAGCAACUACAUGAGGCUCAAUGGACCUAUUUUGUUUUCCCAAACGGAACAGAGGGGAUACCAGAUUGGUUUGAGCACCAAAGCAAGGGACCCACAAUUUCUUUCUGGUUUCGUAAAGAAAUCCCUUCUAUAACAUGUAUUUUUAUUCUUCCGGAAGGCAAAAAUGGGGUAGCUGACUCAGGAGUCAAUUAUUUUGUGAAUGGAUAUGAAAUUGAGUUAGAUGGUUCUUUUUACCAGUUUAGCUAUGUGUACUUGAAGCAGACAAGUUUGUUUCAUACCCUGAAAUGGAAUGAACUCAGUGGAAGACAAUAUGACUAUGAUAUAAUGGACAAAGUACUUUCGAAAAAUGAAUGGAUCCAUGUGGAGCUUAAGUUGGAUGAUUCGAGUUUGAAUCGACUUAGUGAGGAAGAGAUGAAUAAAAUAUUAAGGAGUGCU